ACUGUUGCUCUUGGUAAAUUUACCAAAGAUGAAAAUGAUUUAUUUGAUAUUAUGUAUGACUGGUUACGUAGGGACCGUUUCGUUUUUGUAGGUUGGUCCGCCCUAUUGCUCUUUCCCUAUGCCUAUUUCGUUUUAGGGGGUUGGUUUACAGGUACAACCUUUGUAACUUCAUAGUAUACUCAUGGAUUGGCCAACUCCUAUUGGAAGGUUGCAAUUUCUUAACCGCCGCAGUUUCUACCCCUUCUAAUAGUUUAGCACAUUCUUUGUUGUUACUAUGGGGUCCUAAAGCACAAGGAGAUUUUACUUGUUGGUGCCAAUUAGGUGGUCUGUGGAUAUUUUUUGCUCUCCACGGGGCUUUCGGACUAAUAGGUUUUAUGUUAUGUCAAUUUGAACUUUUGUGGUCUGUUCAAUUGCGACCUUAUAACGCAAUUGCACUCUUUGGUCCAAUUGCAUGUACAAUAUUUUAGAAUUUGCAUCAUGUUUUCGAAAAUGUUAGAAAUCAAAGUAUCUUGGUCCUUUCUUAUGACUUGAUCCCGAAGGAAAUUGAUUAGAAUUUUUUUGGUAAAUCGUUAAUUUAUCUAGUGUUUAACUAUAUUUAUUUACAAUUUUACUAGAUUGAAAUUUUAUGAUGUUUAAAAAUUUAUAGAUCCCAUGUUACAUUCAGUAAAAAUUUAUGAUACAUGUAUUGAGUGUACUCAAUGUGUCCGAGUCUGCUCCACCGAUAUGUUAGAAAUGAUACCUUAUAAUGGAUGUAAAGCUAAGCAGAUUGCUCCCAAAGUCUGACUACUUAUGAUUAAUUUCUUUACCACCACCUUUUUCAAUCUUCACAAAGUCAUUUCAUUGUCAUAUAAGUAGAAAAUGUAUGUAUAUUUGAAUAUUGAUAGGUAAAUCAAAGUAGAUGAGAAAUAUGUAGCCAAAUCAAGGAUAAAUGUAUAACUUUUCUUCAAAUUUUAACAAAAAGUAAAUAAAAAUAAUAUUUUUUUACUUCUAAAUUAAGCAAUUAGAUUCACUUUGAUACUUUUAUCUUUUACAUCCAUUUUGAUACCUAAAUCUAACAAUUAAAUAUAUUUCAAACUCUAACAGGGAAAACAUAAGAACACCAAAAUGGGUUCGUUGCCUUCACUACUAGACCUAAGAUUAGGCGUGUUUAAACGGUUAAUCGAAUUGAACUAGUAUUAACUAAAUUAAUCAAACUUUUUUAAUCGUUUAACCAUUAAUUGUACCGAAUUUUUUUCAAAAAAAUUAACCAUACUAAAAUAUUUUGGGUAAUUUGAUCGGUUAACAGAAAUUUAUAUGUUUUUUUUUGUUAAAAAAUAUAAAAAUAUAUUAAAAUAAAUAAAUUGAUAAUGUUUAUUUGACUGAAUUAAUCGAAUUAACAAUAGAUUAAUACAUAUAAUAUAUAAUAUUAUUUAUUAAAUUUAUUUAAUUACUCGAUUUCAAAUCGAAUUAACCGUUAACCGAAAUUUUAAAACACUUUUAACUGACAUUCAAAAAAAAUAAAUCGAUUAACUGAAUCAAAUCGGUUCAAUCAAUUCAUUUGAUUUUAAUAGAAGUUUGGAAACUAGAGAUUGAUAUAUUUGAUGGGGCUGAAUAAAAGAAUCUGGACAUCUUUAUUGCUGAUGAUAAAAAAUUAGAAAUAGGGUGUGCGUGGCAAACAUGGCCCUGACGUAUAGAAUUAUUAUUUAAUAUCGCUUUUGUCAGCUUUGUGGAUAAAUUUUUCAAACCCAAAAAUAUUGAAAAGAAGAUUUGCCUAGCGAAAUAAUGGGAAAUGAUUGCACCAAAUCCACUUAGAAAAUGCAUUCAUUGCUAAAGCUGUCACAUCUUAUAUAAUGUUAUGUACGUACUCAAGGGGAGGUUCUUAAUCCUAAAAUUUUUCAUUUUCUCAAAUGAUAUUAAUUUUUUAUUUACAUAAUUAACAUUAAUUUUAUAAUAUUUAAAUUUAUAAUUCAAACAAUAUAUAAAUUUAAUUAUAAAAAGACUUAUAUUAACUUAUAUUCCUUUUUAUAUCUAUUUCAAUAUUGACAAUUUUAUAAAAAAACAAAGUGUAUAAAAGAUUAUUAGUUUUGUUGUACAUUUUAUAAUACAAUUAUUGUUAUGCUAAUAUUGCAAUAAAUAAUAUCGUGUCAUUUUAAUUAAAGUAAACACGUAUUUUCAAUAUAUUACACAUGUUAAUUAAUUAUUAGUUUUAGUUUUUAAAAUCAGACAAUAAUAAUAGUAGAUAUUGAAUUAUUAAAGUAAACAUGACAUUAUUAAAAAAUUAAUAUUUUCGUCAAUAUUAUCAUUAGGAAAAAUAAUUCAACUCAAUUUUCAAGGAUUGAGGAUAAAAUUUAACUAAAAAAUAACAAAUUGAUAAUAAAUGUAAUUAUUAAUAGCGGAAGUUGACAUUAUGCUAGGGAUACCACGAUAGGCAGCUUGCAAGUGAUCAUAGGGUACUGCUCUUAAUCUACAUAAAAAUGCGAGAAAGGAAGUAGCAGAGGAAGAAGGUUAGUGAGAGAGAAUAAAACCCCAAACCAUUAUUAUGGCUGAAAUUAGCAGCUUAAGAAUCGAUCCCAGGAGUGGGUUUUGUUCUUCCAAUUCUACUUUCUACAGCAAACGCGUUCCCUUUCCACUUCCAUCCAACCACGCCCUUGACAUCACUACUUUUAUCUCCUCUUACCCUCACCAUGGCAAAACCGCCUUCAUCGACGCCGCUACCGGUCGCCACCUCUCCUUUUCCCAACUUUGGCAAUCAGUUGACUCCGUUUCCACGUGUCUGUCCGAGUUGGGUAUUCAGAAAGGCAACGUCGUCAUCAUCAUCGCACCAAACUCCAUCUUCUUACCCAUUGUUUGCCUCUCUGUGAUGUCUCUUGGAGCUAUUAUAACCACUAGCAACCCCCUCAACACGUCUCGUGAAUUCGCGGUACAAAUGGCUAAUUCAAAGCCCGUCCUCGUCUUCACCACCGCUCAAGUCGUCCCAAAAUUGGCUGGAUCACCUCUCCCCGUCGUACUUCUCGACGAGCAAGUGGCGACCGAAAAAACAGGCCAAGUCAAAAUAGUUACUACUAUUAGUGAAAUGUUAAAGAAGGAAACAAAGGACAAGAUCCGAGUCAAGGAUCGAGUGUACCAAGAUGACGCGGCGACUCUACUCUAUUCCUCGGGCACGACGGGUGCCAGCAAGGGAGUAAUAUCAUCUCACAGAAACCUCAUGGCUCUAACGCAAAGUUUUUCAAAUUUGAGCAAUCCAGAGAAAGGGGAGCAAACCCAUAUCUGCGCCGUUCCCAUGUUCCACAUCUACGGCUUCGGAGCUUUUGCCAUCGGGAAACUCACGCAAGGAUCAAAAGUAGUUAUUUUAUCAAAGUUCGACAUGAAGGAAAUGCUGUCGGCAGUAGAGAAGUACCGUGUCACUUGCCUCCCCCUGGUGCCACCUAUACUCUUGGUAAUGGUGAAGGAAGCUGAUGUGAUACGAAAGAAGUACGAUUUGAGUUCGUUGCAAUCAAUAGUGUGCGGUGGCGCUCCGUUGAGCAAGGAUUUGAUAAAUAGGUUUAGGGAAAAGUUUCCAAGCAUUUAUAUUCGGCAAGGGUACGCGAUGACAGAAUCGACAGGGUUUGGCGCAUCAAUGGAAACGCCGGAGGAGUGUCUCAAGUAUGGCAGUGUGGGGUUGCUAUCGCCCAACUUGGAAGCCAAAAUUGUAGACCCUACAACUGGUAUGGCCUUGGAGGUCAAUCAGAAAGGGGAGCUUUGGGUAAGGGGUCCCUCCAUUAUGAAAGGUACGUAAUUUGAUGAUCAAUCAAUUUGACGCCCUUUUAGGUGAAGACACUGAGUGUGUCCCCAUAUUGCGUAUAUUCAAGUAUGUCGAUUGCAAAGAUCUUUGCUUUGGUUUUAUUUUUGGCAGUUAUUUUUAACCCAAGGAGAAAGAUCUUUGCAAUUAAUUAAUUAUUUUAUAAAAAGAAUAAACAAGAACACGAAAUCCACUUAAAAAAUGCACUGCUGUCACAUCUAAUAUUGAUAAUUAUUUUAUUUAAAGUAUAUAUUUUGCUAACCAUUUCAAUUUCAACCAGCAUAUGAGUAAAUUAUUAAUAUUAAAAUUACAAAAUGCUAUAAUCAUUAAAUUAUUUUAAAGCUAUCCUUUUAGUCAUUACCUUCUUAACGGCCAGUUUGACACACAAGUAUAAUAUAUUUAAUAUCCACGUAACUAUCUAAUGGUCUUUUUAUAAAUUUUUAAUUUUAAUAAUUAAAAUCUGAAUUUAUUAAUAAUUUAGUAUUUGUAAGUAUAAUUUACCCUAAUUUUUAUUACUUCAUUAUAGUUUCACUACAACAAAACAGGUUUUUAGCGGCGCUUUUUUGGCCUUUAGCGGCGUUUUUUAGCGCCACUAAAAGUAUUUGCGGCGCUUUGAGAAGCACUGCUAAAGUUAGCAACGCUGUCAUUAGCGGCGCUUUUUCCACAAACGCCGCUAAAGACCAUGACAUCUAGCGGCGCUUCCCCACAAACGCCACUAAAGACCAAGACCUUUAGCGGCGCUUCCCCACAAACGCCGCUAAAGACCAAGACCUUUAGCGGCGCUUUUCCCACAAACGCCGCUAAAGAUAUUGAGCUUUAGCGGCACUUUUUCCCACAAACGCCGCUAAAAAUAUAUCUUUUAAAAAAAUAAUUUUUUUUCAAAUAAUAUUUAUUUCUAUGAUAAAUAUUAUAUUAUGUUUUAAGGAUAAAUAAAAAAUAUUAUUUAAAUUAAAUUUUCUACGAAAAUUUUAACUUUAAAACUAAAUAUAAAUAUAACAAUUAAUGAAUUUAAUUUUAGAAUUUAAAAUAAUAAAUUAAUAACACAAUUAAAAUCCAAAAGUUAGACCACUUAAGUAAAAAUACAAAUUUAGAAUCAAAACUAAAAUAAAUAAUACAUAUGCAAGGUAAUAAAAUAUACAAUGCAUUUUCUUAAUCAAGUAAAUCUUGGUAAUAAAAGAUAUAAUACAUUUACUUAAUCAAGAAAAUCUUGUAAUGAACUCAAAGCAAUGAGCCUUGAAAAACUUUUGAGCAUGGCUUCAAAUUUGAACCGCAAAUUUGGCUCCUACAUGCUCUGCAAGAAAAUAAAAGUAACUUAAUCUGUUCAAACCAUAGUGAACAUGGCAAAGAUACGUAAAUCAAUUCAACUUUUUAAGAUAGUUUUAUAAUGUUAUAGUAAAUUAGGUGUCUUAUAAUGUUAUAGUAAAUUAUUAAAAAUACAUCUAAAAAAUAUAUCUCAACUUUUUAAGAUUAUUUGUGGAAUAAAAAAAGUACACUACUGAUAUAUCUACUCACUUAAGUCAAUAUAGGUGGAAAGUAUUCAUCAAUAUAAAUUUAAAAUAUUAGAACAUAUCAUGCUUAAAUUCCAAUUAAACCCUUAAGCCUAUAUUCUUAAAUUCCAAUUACCAUCAACAAUUGCAGAAUCUCCUAAUUAGCUUCUUUGUAGAAUAUUUGAACAUGAUAUUCCAUAGUCAGAAUACAUACAUCAACAGGUUAAAUCAAAGUAUUAGAACAUAUCAUGCUUAAAGAUAAUAAUUAGAUUUAUCUAAAAUCAAGCCCGAUUUAACUAGUACUAAGUAAACCUAUUUCAAGUUUUUUUUUUCUGGGCAGCCCAAUUUUUUGAAAAAUUUAGAACAAACCUCAAGUAAGCAUAAGUGAACGUUAUGGGAUCCUUUUUGCCAUGCAGAAAACAUAAAACAUUAGUUCAGAGAAGAUAUAUACAAUUAAAAAUACAAUAAAUAAUAAAACAGAAGAGUAAUUUUACUAUUGAAGUGUGAUGAACUUGAAACUCAAAGCAUACAGCACAAAUGGUGAUGCAAGAAAUUCCUAAUCAGAGUGUUUUACAAAUGUUUUCACUUCUAGAAUUUGUUAACACUUUGAGAAAUAUAUAGGUGUUUGAUUUACCCAACAGCUCUGCCCAUGAUGUAUUUUUGUUGCAACCAACGAUUACUAGAUGUGUACAACAUUCUGUCAUCGUAGAGAUUAGCGUCUCCUGAUGAAUAUGUCCAGUCAAAAAAUUAAAAAGGUUAGCAUACUCAAGCAGUAGCUGUACAUAUGAAGAUAUUUAAAGAAUGAUCAACCACACACACACACACACAUAUGAAAAAAUGAGAAGAACUUGGAAUGUAUUUAAGACCAUUCCACAAGUAAACAAACAAAACUAUUUGGAAGUGUCCACUCUCCACUUCAUUGGUGGGGAAAGAGAUUUUAAUAGUCAGAAAAUAUUUUCAUGAUUGAUAAUAAAAAGUUUAAAGUUCGUUGAAAACAAACAAACAAACCACAACUUGUAUUUGCUCACAUUCAACUAGCUUGAUAUCAAGGAUAUGCUACCUUUAGUGAGUAUAUCAGCUUCUUUACUAUCUCGCUGCUCAUGAACCUGACAAAGCAUAACCAAACAUGCAAUGUACUAAAUCCAGCAUACAGAAUAACCAGGCGGGGACCCGUUAAUUCAAAUAAUUUACAGCCAUAACACCUAUAUAAAUUUCAGAAAGAAAAUGGUCAACCACUAGUACACAGCUCAUGAACAAGACUGUUAGAGUUGACCAUGGUGUUAACCUUAUCAAAACUAUUUGUUUCUACUUUCUAGAGAUUUUUUACAUCAGAACAUGAGAACCUUCUGUCACUUGUCGUUCAAGCAGUUCAACAUUUGGCAAAUUUAAAUUUAUAUGACUAUCACAAAUCAAAGCUCAAAAUUUUUAAAUACUUAAUUUUAGAUACAUGUAAAAAAUUGGCUCACUCGUUUGAAACUGGGUUUCAUACUCCCAGAUAGCACAACCACCACCGGCGACUCGCUCCCAAUAAUGCAAAUCAAUCCUUUCCAUAUUAUCAGUGCCGAUGAAAUAACCAUUCCUUAACGAGAUUUAAACUAAAAAUUUCAAUCAUUAUCCGAUGGAAUUUUUUGAAGUAUAAAGGGAUUUUAAAGAAUUAAGAGAAAAGUGGAAACGCACCGAGGCUGAUGGCUUGAGAGAGAAUUUUUCUAAUAUGAGUUGAUUUCAUAUUUUCUUCAAUCCACCCCAUUGGAGAUCAAUGCUUUUCUUGUCUUAACGAUUUACAACACGCUGCAGGCUGCAAAAUAAGAAUGGAAAUGAGAAAAGUAACAAAAAUAAGAAACCUGCAAAAGGAAAAAAAAAAAGAAAGAAUAAUGCGCAAACAUAACAAGAAUAAUUUAAACAUACUCGAUUAGUUUGAGACGUAAGCUUAAUUUGAUUAAUUCCUCUAAAUCGAAUUCAUUUUCUAGUCCGAGUAAAUCCAACAAUUAGAUUCACUUUUAAUGCACAUACUGAAUGCACCUAAUAAAAAUGAUUAUAUAAAAAAAAACUUACAUGAAUUAUGUACCAAUUGCAAAUGUUAGGCAAGAAGCUAAAGCCAACAAGGAGCCUAAGACUUGAUCGCCAACAGUAGCAUGUUUGGUGCUAGUAUGAUGGUGUCCACCAUGUUUGACUAUGUUUAUGUUGGUUGACCAAAGAUUAAGUUCUUGAAUUAUUUUGGUAUCAAAACCUAUACACUAAAAAAAAAAACAGAUUAUAUGAGGAAUUGUGAAAGUUACCUUUCAAAGAUGAAAGCAAGUGGAGUUAUACAAGCAGUGGCGAAGAUGAAUCUGUAAGCAAUGAGUGCUCUCAUGCUCAUUCCCUCAACCACGGCCAAUUUAUAGAACGCAAUCACACCUACAAAAUAAAAAUCAAUCAUCCAAGAAAAUAAAUACUGGGUCACAAACACCAAAAAGCUUCUGGUUACUCAAAGGGUCUGAAAGUUGCCUUUGGCUUCUGAACCUCUAAAACUGGACUGUAGCACCAAGCUCCUCUUCCCCCGAAUCACUACUAAAUCGCAGCGUAAUUGAAGUUCAAUCUUUUCGAUAUUUCUUCUCCUCAGCUGAUGGUCGAUUGGCCUGACACUUCCCCCGGGUGGGUGACUGCCCUUAUCGUGAUUUCCUCCUUCUUUCGGGUAAAGGUUAGAGUGAUGAAGGGAAGGCUCGAGGUCGAGGUGGAGCACCCACCAUUCCCUCUUUUAGUGUUAUCAAGUCUUCUGUGGAGGUAGGAAGCCAGCUUCUCCCUUAUUUGACGCUUCGCUUCAACAUGAUUUAGAGGCUCUUCUCUUCCAUUAGUCGGUUUUCUCCCCUGUUUUCGAGGCCUCUUUUCAGGCUCUACGACUCGACUACUAUCGGCCUCCUUAACAACGGAAGCUUCAAGAUCAGAGUGAUCUGAAUCCCCGGCACCCUAUUUGAUUUCACCACACCAGAUGAAGGUAAAAUUACACCUGAAGUAAACGAAAGCAUAGCUUCUUCGUUGCUCCCUCUUGAAUUAGACGACCUCUUCUUGUUCUCCACGGCGAACGGAGAGUUUCCUGUGAACAAAUUCCCAUUCCCACUUCUCUUACUCUCACCAAAAUUCAAUCUCUCUCCAGAUUCAGGUUUCAACAAAUGAGAAGAUGAAUUCCCAUUCCUCACACUGCUACUCUCAUCAAAGAAGAUGAAUCGUCUUUGGUGCCUCCAUUUUAGGGGGAAAUUUGGGGUUUUUUCGUUUUUGGGUUUUAGGGGGAAAUAUGGGAAAAAAUCAGCGCGAAAUUUUUUAAGUAAAAUGAAUUUUGUGGCGCGCCACUAAAAAUAAAAUUAAAUUUCUACUGUAAAACUUCACAUUUUGAGAAAUUCAAUGCGUAUUUGCGGCUUGUUUCAUAAAAAAGCGCUAUUGCUUACCUUUUGCGGCGUUUUUCUCAUAAACGCCGCUAAUUAUUGACUUUUUCUUACAAUUUUAUAUUUAAUUAUUAUAUAAUUCAUAUCAAAUUUAAAUAAAUUUUGAAAAUUUAAGUAAUAUUUAAAAGAAUUAGAUAAAUUUUAAAAUUUUUAUAUAAUUUUUUAUGUAAGAAAACAAAAACAAAAACAAAAAAUUUUAAAAUAUGAAAAAAAAACUUUAAAAAACUAUAUUAAUGAUAAUUUUAAUAAAUUAAAAUUCAUAUUAUCUCUUUUAUUGUUAAUCUGUUACAUUAAUUUGUUACAUUAAUUUAUUUAUUUAUCAAUUUUUUCAAAAAUCUAAUAUUUAAAUAUAUCAAAUGAUUUAAAUCAUUUAAUCUAAAUUUAGAUUAAAUAUUUUUAAAUAUAAAAACAUUAAUUAAUUGUAUAAAAUUUCAUCAUUUAACAAAUCUAUGGUAAACCUUAAAUCCUAAACCAUUUAAUAUGUAUAAAAUUGAUCUAUUAUCUCUUAUAUAAUUUAAACUAUAAUCAUAAUUUUAAUAUAUUAAAAUUAAUAUUAUCUCUUUUACAAUUAUAUAAGAAAUUAUUUAAUAUAUAAAUUAAAAAAUACCAAUUAAUCUAAACCCUUAACCCCUAUCUCUUAAACCCUAAAUCAUAAAACAUAACCCCUAAACCCCUAACCCAUCUUUUACAAUUAUAUAAAAACUUAAUUAAUAUAUGAAUUAAAAAAAUACUAAUUAAUCUAAACCUUAAACCCUAACUUGACCCUAAAUCUUUAAACCCUAAAUCACUAACUCUUGACCUCUAACCUUUAACCCCUAACCCCUAACCACUAACCCCUAACCACUAACUACUAACCCCUAAAUCUUAUUUAAUAUAUAAAUUAAAAAACACUAAUUAAUCUAGACCCUAAACCCUAACCCAAAUCCUUAACCCCUAACCCCUACACCUUAUUCAAUAUAAAUUAGAGCACACUAAUUAAUCUAAACCUUAAACCCUAACUUGACACUAAAUUCAUAAACCUUAAACACUAACUCUUAAUCUCUAACCCCUAACCCCUAAAUUACAACCCUUAAACCAGAAUCCCUAAUUCCAUAAUCUAUAAACCUUAAAAUUGUAAUUCCUAAACCGGCCUUAAAUCCUAAAUUAACCAUAUACCCUAAAUUAUAUACCCUAAACCAUAUAUAUUAAACCCUAAACUAUAAUGUUAAUUAAUUAAAUAUUUUAAAAUUAAUAUUAUCGUAUCUUUUACAAUUUAAGUUUUAUGAUAUUUUAUUUUACUCAUAAUUUAAUAUAUUUUUCUAGUAAAGUAGUUUAAAUAAACUGUGAUUGAAAAAUAAUAAUAAAUAGUUAGGAGUUAGGACUUCUCUUUAAUAAAAAAAUUUUGUAUUAAAAAAUAUUAUUUGUUAUCAUUUAAAUGUAAAUAUGACCAAUAUAUAAUAAAUACAACGAAAUAUCUAUUUUUUUAACUUAUAAUAAAAAAAUAUAAUUGAAACAUUACUUGAGAAUAUAUCAAAGAAUGAGAUAAUUGAGAAUAUAUCAAAAGCGGGCAUUAGCGGCGCUUUUUUAAAAACGCCGCUAAAGGCCUAAGCAUUAGCGACGCUUUUUAAAAAAUGCCACUAAAGGCCCGAGCAUUAGCGGCGCUUCUUCCAAAACGAAGCUAAAGGCCCGAGCAUUAGCGGCGCUUAUUCAAAAAAGCCGCUAAAGGCCCGAAAACUAGCGGCGCUUAUUCAAAAACGCCGCUAAAGGCCCGAAAACUCAAAACGUUUGGCUUAGGUUUUUUGCGGCGCUUUUUGGAAAACGCCGGUAAUGCUUAUUUUUAGCGGCGUUUUCCAAAAAGCGCUACUAAUGCUCGACCUUUAGCGGCGUUUUUAUAAAAGCGCCGCUAAUGCUUGAUUUUUAGUGGCGUUUUUUAUCCAAACGCCGCUAAAAACCUAUUUUGGUGCAGUUUAAUGAAAUUGGAUCAAAAUCAUUAGCUUUGAGUACUUUAUUAUGUUUAACGAAAUUGGAUCAAAAUCAUUAAAAUGGACAGAAAUUUCAAUUUAUCAAGAUAACAUAAGAAAAAUAUGGGAUUAUCCAAAGUUUAAACAUUAAUAUGAGCUCAAAGGAAAGUUGUUGAAUCAUAUGUUCUAAUUUAGUAAUGAAAUCUUACAUCCCUAUGCAGAGCUUCCUAAAUUUUAUACCAUAAAAAUCAUAAUUUUUCUUAAUCUAGGCCCCCAAUCAGUAAUGAACUCUAAAAUUAUAUAGUAGGAUUGAUAUAUGUAAUAUUUUAACAUGAAAUUUGGAUAUCCUGAAAAGUUAGAGAUGUGUGUUGUUGAUUGGUGGGCCUGCUGCUGCUGCUGGUAUUUUAGGUUAUCUGAAUAAUGCAGAAGCCACAGCCGCUACUCUCGAUUCACAAGGAUGGUUAAAAACCGGUGAUCUUUGCUACAUCGAUGAUGAUGGCUACGUCUAUGUUGUUGAUAGGUUGAAGGAGCUGAUCAAAUACAAGGGAUAUCAGGUCACCGCAUAGUUCACAAUUUGCUUCAUAUAUUCUAUACAAAAUCACAGGUUAACCAUUUACAGGCUUUGUUUAUAUUUGUUUUAGGUUCCUCCUGCUGAAUUGGAGGCAUUGCUACUUUCUCACCCACAGAUUUCUGGUGCUGCUGUCAUACCGUAAGUUUAUAUAGAGCUGCUUCCACUUGAAACACCCUUUGUUGCUCAAGAUUCAGAGAUAUUAUGUGAUUUGCGAUUAGGUUUCCGGAUGAAGAGGUUGGGCAGUAUCCCAUGGCGUAUGUGGUUAGAAACAGUGGAAGCAAUAUAUCAGACACUGCACUCAUGGAUUUUGUAGCAAAACAAGUAAGCAAUUACAUACAUACAUACAUACAUACAUACAUACAUAGUGUUUUAAAGCCUAGAUUGCGAAUGGGUAUGAUCAUUUAGCUUAAGCUAUGAAAUGAACAAAACAGGUUGCACCAUACAAGAGAAUUCGGAAAGUGGCAUUUGUAACUUCAAUACCCAAGAAUCCAUCUGGGAAGAUUCUAAGAAGGGAGCUCAUCAAGCUUGCAAUUUCCAAAAUUUGAGGGCAUCUCGUUUGCAGCUCUAUAAUAAUAAUAAUAAUAAUAAUAGGAUGAAUGCAUUUCCAAAGUAAAGUUUCACUUCUUUGCUUGUUUCGGAGAUGGGAGUUUUUCAUUUCUCUGGUUCAUCAAUGUACUUCUAAAUAAUUUCAUCUUUUAAAAUUUGAAUUUAUAUUCUCCUAAUAAAAAGUACAACAUACUGUAUGAAUGCACUUAAUAUUUGUUGGUUGUCUGGAAUAAAUUUUAAGUGGGACAAUGAUUGAUCUGAUAAAUUGUUUAGCGUUAUCAUUGCUAUUCCCUUCUGUCCAUGGCAUUCAUUCGGCUUUAUGCUUUUUGUUUAAUCUGAUAAAGUGUUUAUACAUUAAUGUUUUAUUCUAUGUAAUUUUAAUUGAUAUAAUAAUAGCUCUCAAAGUUUAGAUAUUCUGUUAAUGUAGUUUCGAUUUAACAGAUUUAACUUCGACAUUUAAUAUAUAUUAAUAGUUAAAUUUGUUGAAUUUUUUAAAAUUAAAGCUAUAUUGACAAAACAUGUAAAUAUUAAAGGCUAAAUUUGUUUAUAUACUAAUCAAAAUUGUGUACAAUUUGACUAAAGAUAUUUACACCAUAAUUAAUUGUCCUUAGUUGCUCACUUUCAAAAUUGAUAAAGAUUAAAAUACUCCAAUCUUUUUGAAAAUAACUAAUUUACUUAAUUUCAAAAUAAGAGGGUUUGGAAAGUUAUUUUUACCAAGAAAUUAUAGAGAUGUUGUUUAAAAUUCUUUAUGUUAUAGACCAUUCAAAUUUGCUCAAUUUCUAAGCCUCCUCUGUUUGUAUCCCUUAUUAUCAGAAAACAAAAUCCUUGCAUUAUAAUAAUGGCAUGAUUGGUACUCGGCCAUUUCGAAUUAUUUAGUUUCUCUAUCACGACAUUGUGUUUGUUUUUUAAAUUUAUUAUUUUUAUAAUUUUAAAAUAUAUAUUUAUUAAUUAAUGAAAAGUGAACUAAUUUAUAACGUUAAAAAGUUCAUUAAUUUUUUAAAAAAUAAUGGAAAGAAUAAAAUAAUAUUAAUAUACUGUUGAGAAUUAAUUCAAAGUAGUGGGUUGUUUAGUUGACCAAAUAUCUUGGUAGAAUCUUUGUUAGUUCCAGAUUUUUCAAUUUAAUUGAAUAAAUUGUUAGCUAUUUUUGUGUUUAAGGUAGUUUCUUUGUAAGCCUAUAAAUAUAGACAUUUAUGCUUUGUUUUAUCAAUUCGGUGUUCAUCAAUAAUAGAAUAACUUUGAUGCAUAUUGUAAUUGUCUCUUUCACGUUUCCUUCUUCAACAAAUUUGGCAUUGAAGCAAGGUUCGAUCUUUUAGGCAAUUGAGUGAAAGUUUGGUUUGGGUCCACUGGGUAUUAGAGAGAAACACCUUUUUGAGUCUUUGGGAAACACGAGAGAAUAAAGUGGGUGUCCUUGGAAUGGCAUCAGUUGAUUUUUGUUCCUCUCAACCACUCAUACCCAUUUUCAACAAUGAGAAAUAUGAGUGGUGGAGCAUCAAGGUGAAGACAUUGCUCAGAUCACAAGAGCUAUGGGACUUGGUCGAGUACGUCUUAACUGACAUACUUGAACCGGAUGAAGAAGAAGAAAAGAGAUUGAAAGAAACCAAGAAAAACGAUGCUAAGGCAUUGCUCAUUAUCCAGCAAGCGGUUAAUGACUCUAUUUUCUCACGAAUUACUGUAGCAACCACGUAGAAUGAAGCAUGGUCAAUUUUACAAAAAGAGUAUUAAGGCGAUUCAAAGGUUAUAGUGGUGAAAUUGCAAUCACUACGACGUGAUUUUGAAACUUUGAUGAUGAAGAAUGGUGAAUCAAUUACUGAUUUUUUGUCACGAACAAGAACAAUAGUUGGCCAAUUGCACUCUUACGACGAACAAAUUUCAGAUGAGAUAAUUGUAGUGAAAGUUGGCCAAGCUUGACGACAAAAUUUGAUCAUGUUGUGACUGCUAUAGAAGAAUUCAAAGAUCUGUCAAUUCUCUCCGUUGAUGAAUUGAUGGGGUCUCUUCAAUCUCAUUAGGCGAGAAUCAACAGAUCAGCAGAAAAGAGUGAAGAGCAGGCAUUUCAAGUGAAUGAGAUAUUCACAAAUCAAGGCGACAAUGACUGUUCAACAAACAAUGAUCGAAGAAGAGGAGGAUUUCGUGGUGGUCGUGGCCGUGGUUAUGGUAAAGGUAGAGGUAAAGGAAGGAAUGAUGGACAGAGGCAAUACAAUGAGCAAGGUAACAUAAAAUAUGGUAUACAAUGUUAUCAUUGCAAUAGAUAUGGGCAUAUAAAAGUUGAUUUCUAGUAUAAGGAUAAAAAAAAUUAACUUUGCAGCAGAAAGUGAUGAGGAAAACAAGCUUUUUAUAACUUGUAUUGAUGCUAACCAUAAGCCAAGUGAUUUAUGGUUUGUGGACAGCAACUAUACGAAUCAUAUGACAGGCACCAAAUCCUUGUUCAAGGUGCUUGAUGAGUCACAAAAGACAAAUUUGCAUCUUAGGAACAAAAGGGAGAUACAAGUUGAAGGAAAAUACACGGUGAAAUUUUUUACUAGUCAUGGAAAAGGAAAAAUUUUGGACAAUGUUCAAUUUGUUCCUGAUUUAGGAUAUAAUUUAUUGAGUGUUGGACAACUAAUGGCUGAUGGAUAUUCUGUCAUAUUUGAUGAUGAUGCAUGUAUCAUCAAAAAUAAAAAGUCAGGCAAACAAGCCUAUGUCCACAUAACUCUAAACAAGAUGUUUGGUGAACUUUGUUCUUGCUGCAAGUGCAAAGGAUGACUCCAAGCUAUGACAUUUGAGGUAUGGACAUCUCAAUAUUAAAGGGAAAUUACUAAGUGAGAAAUGUAUGGUUCUUGGACUACCAAAAAUUGGCUCUCUUGAUUUAUGUGAGGGGUGCAUUUAUGGAAAGCAAACUAAGAAGUCAUUUCCUGUUGGAAAAGCAUGGAGAGCUAUUGAAUGUUUAGAAUUAAUUCAUGUUGAUUUAUGUGGUCCUAUGCAAACCAAGUCAUUGGGUGGGAGCUGUUACUUCUUGUUGUUCACUGAUGAUUAUAGCAGCAUAAUUUGGGUGUAUUUUUCUAGAAAACGAGUUAGAAACUUAUGAAAAGUUCCAGAAAUUCAAGGCUAUGGUGGAGAACCAAAGCGGCUGCCAUAUCAAAGUUCUUCGCAUGGAUCGAGGAGGAGAGUUUGUGUCCAAAGAGUUCAAUCUAUUUUGUGAAGAUAAUGACAUCCGUAAGGAGUUAACAAUUCCUAACACUCUAGAGCAGAACGGUGUUAUUGAGCGAAAGAACCGAACUAUUGUAGAGAUGGCGAGAAGCAUGUUACAAGCAAGAGGACUUUCAAAUCAAUUUUGGGCAGAAGUUGUGGCAACAUCAGUCUAUCUACUGAAUCUCUCGCCAACAAGGGCUAUCAUGAACAAAACUCCAUAUGAAGCUUGGUGUGGUAGGAAACCUAAUGUAAGUCAUUUAAUAAUUUUUGGGUGUGUUGCUUAUGCUUUGGUAAAUUCUCACGCUCAUAAAAAACUUGAUGAAAAUCCAAAAAAUGUAUUUUUAUUGGUUAUUGUACUCAAUCCAAAGCAUAUAGAUUGUAUAACCCUUAUAGUGGAAAAUUUUCAAGUAGAAGGAAUGUAGUGUUUGAUGAAAAUGUAAACUGGGAUAUGACUGUAGAGCAGGUACAACAGGAGAUUUAUUUUCCCAUUGAAGAUUCUCUAGAUGAAAAACAAGAGUCGGCAACAGCAACAUCUACAAAACUUGAAGAGUCUUCUGAAGAACCAAUUCAACUAAGGAGAUCAACAAGGAAGAAUGACAAAAGGCGAUGAUGAAGGAGAUGAAAUCCAUCGAAAAGAAUAGAACUUGGGAGAUGGUUGACUUGCUGGAAGACAAAAAUGCAAUUGGUUUGAAGUGGAUGUUCAAGACAAAAUUUGGUACAGAUGGAAGAAUCCAAAAGCACAAAGCUCGUCUUGUGGUGAAAGGUUAUGCACAGCAAUAUAGUGUUGAUUUCGAGGAAACUUUCAUUUCGGUAGCAUGGUUCGAAAUGGUAAGGCUUAUUCUAGCAUUGGCUGCACAAUUGCAAUUGCCUAUUUAUCAAUUUGAUGUCAAAUCAGCAUUCCUCAAUGGAGAUCUACAAGGGGAGGUUUAUGUAGCACAACCAGAAGGUUUCAUAGAGAAGGGCAACGAAACAAAGGUGUACAAGUUGAAAAAGGCGUUGUACUGAUUGAAGCAAUCCCCUCAAGCAUUGUAAUACCCCCUACCCGUAUUCGUCGCCGAAGUAGGGUAUAGGGCAUUACCAGAUUUUACCGAAUAAAUUUUUUUAUUACGAGUUAAAUACUAUUCAUUUAUCGAAACAUGUCAUGACAUCCCUUGGAUGGGCAUCCGAAGCCCAAAACAUACAUCAGGACCAAACCAGGAUUAAAUUGAAACCGUAAGAAAUUUUUCGCAAAAUCUCGAAGUUUUUUUUAUGAACUCAAUAUAACCCCUUUAUAAAUAUCUAAUCUUCCCUGCAAUUUUAAACCGAGAGCAAUCCAACACAACCAAUCCAUUUCAAUAUAUUUUCAAGAAAGAUUUAACAUAUUCAUAAGAUAACCUCAUCACAUACCAAAACCAAAAUUUGUUAGCCAUACCAAUGACUAACCAUACAUUCAUUUCACAUUAAAAUUUACUUUACUAGCUUAUACAUGCCAUUGAUUUCCAAAAUAAAGUUUCUUUAUAUACCAAGAUCUUGAGGUUGAAAGUGUGAUGCGUCUCUAACCAAAUCCAACCUCCGAGCUCUUAAUACUACAACAUAGGGGAAAAGGAAACAGGGUAAGCACUUUGUGCUUAGUAAGCUUAUGUAACAAGAAUUAUACUUACCUAAAAUUUUCAAUACAAUGUAAUAAACAUUCAUACAUCCAUUCAAUGCAUUAUUCCCUUAACAUGCACAAACUCAACACUAAAGUUAGUUCAAUAAUUUCUAUAUAUCAAUAAUAUAUAUACCGUGAUUGAUGAAAUCAUCAAUUCCAUGAUUUCCAUUCCCUUGUUAUUUUUCCAUAUUUAUCCCGUUGAACUACUUAGAAUUUCGAUGGAUUUUCAGGGGUACACCUAAGUGUACAAAUUCGGGUCCGUCAAUUCAUAUUCAUGUGCGCACAUUUUCAUUUCAAAGAGCACACUCUUGCGAACCUCAUCCUUAUAGCGGGAUUACCAGUCCAGGCUAAAUCCCCUGUAAUAUAAACUCAUAGAGUAUUGUCGGGAUUACCAGUCCAGGCUAAAUCCCCUACAAUGAAAAUUAAUCUAAUGAGCUUGGAUCUGAAUUACCAGUCCAGGCUAAAUUCAGACCCUAAUUUGGAUCACCCGUCCAGGCUAAAUCCAUUUUUCACAUAUUCUUCAGGAGGGCUAUAUCAGGAUAGCAUCACCCGUCUGGGCUAGAUCCUUUUUACAGUCAAGUUCUUUUCAGAGAUCCAUCGAAUUUUCCUUCCAUUCAACCGGGAUUUCUUCCCCUUUUUAUCAAAUAUAUCAAUGUUUCAUCAAUUUUCAUACAAUGAGCAUUCAAAUCAUAUUCACAUCAAUAACAAACAUUUCAAGCAUUUAAGAAUAUAAUUCAAGUUACACAAACUUACCUCGAUACUUGUUCAUAUGCAAAAAUCUACUAAUCCCGAACUUUUUCUUUUACUCAAUCUAGCUUCGUAUUUGAAUUUUUUGGAUUUAAAUAAAUAAAGUUAAUCAUUAAUUUAAUACAUUUCAUGUUCAUAUGUAACAUUCUCUCUAAUCCCAUUAUUAUUUAUCGUUUAUUCAGAGCUGUCUACUUGAGUCAUAGUCACUAAAUUAUUUAUAUCUUCAGCUACGAAACUCAAAAUUAAGAUCCACUAAUUUUCCCCAAAACUAGACUCACAUAUCUUCUUACUUUAAAAUUUUCAAAAUUUUUUAUUGAGCCAAUAAGUACAGCUUAUUCUUUAAAGUCAUCCCUAUUUUGUUGUCUGACAGUUUUGUCCCUUCUUCACUAAAAAUUAAUUAUAUCCUCGUACAGGAUUCAGAUGAUGUUUUCAUUUAUUUAUUUUAAAAAUAGACCCAUUAAAGAUUUUAAAAAUAUAAAUUUAAUCCCGUAAUUAUUUUUCUCCAUUUUUUUAUGAUUUUUCAAAUUCAGAACAGAGGAACCCGAAAUCAUUCUGACCUUGUCUCAUAAAACCUAUUAUAUCUUAUUAUUUACAAUUUCAUUGCCUAUACCGUUUCUUCUAUAAGAAACUAGACUCAAUAAGAUUUAAUUUUAUAUUUUAUUCAUCCUCUAAUUCAAUUUCUACAAUUUUUUGUGAUUUUUCAAAGUUAGACUACUGCUGCUGUUCAAAAUUGUUUUAGUGCCAAGUGUUGAUUUCCAUUUUACCCCAAAUUUCACAGUUCAUACAAUUCCGUCCUUGCUCAAUUAACCCCUCAAUUAAACUAAUUUUUCUCAAUUAAUACUUUACCUAUACAUUAUAAGUUAUUUCAUAAUGAUUGAAAUUCAUAAUUUCCACAUAAAACCCUAACUUCAAACUCUUUUACAAUUAGGUCUCAAACAUUCACUUUCUAUUCAAUUCUUUCAAUAAAAUCAGCAUAUAAACAAUUUAAAGCUCUCAUUCCAUGCUAAUCAUCAUAUACUUCCAGCAUAUAUUCAUAGAAACUUUCAAUUUCAUUCAUAAAAUCAAAAACUAAUGAAUUUAGUAAUAGGACCUAGUUGUAAAAGUCUUAGAAACUCAAAAAUUACAAGAAAAAGGCAAGGAUUAACUCAUUUGGUGCAAAAAUUAUGAAAUAACAGUUUGAAUAAACCCUUAGGACAUUUUCAGCUGAUGAUAAUGAAGAAAAUAUGAAGAGAAUUCUAGAUAUUACAAGUUGGUCCCAUUUUUAUUUUAGUACAUUUUGGUAUUUUUCCAUUUUGCCCUUAUUUCACCAAUUCUCCUGAUUUUUCUCAGCUUAUGCAACUCAUAUUUGCAAUUUAUGUCCCUCCUCAUUUAACAAUUGAGCUAUUUAAUCCUUAUAGUAACUUUUACACCCUUUUCAAUUUAGUCUUUUUCACUUAAUUAGCUACCCAAAUGUAGAAAUUUUCUAACGAAAUUUUAAUACCAUAUUAGUGAUACUUCAUAAAUGUUUAUAAAAGUAUUUCCGACUUGGUUUUUAUGAGAUCGAGGUCUCGAUACCUUUUUUACCCAAUUUCUUCAAUAAUUUCUUUUUCUAACUAACCACUAAAUCGGUAAAAUUUUUCUAUCGAUGUUUUCAUACGAUUUUUCUAUCAUAUCAAUAUUCAUGUAAAAAUAUUAAAAUAAAUUUCUCUUUAAAUUAAAUUUGUGGUUUCGAAACCACUGUUCUGAUAACCUUGAAUUUAGGCCAUUACAACUUUCCCCCUUAAAGAUUUUCAUCCUCGAAAAUCUUACUAGUAAAGAGGUUCGAGUAUUGUUUCCUCAUUGCCUUCUCCGAUUCCCAUGUCGCUUCCUUUAUCCCGUGCUGUUGCCAUAAUACUUUCACCAAAUUUAUCUUUUUAUUUCUUAGCUCCUUUUGUUUCCCGUGCCAAUAUCUUGACCGGUUCUUCAUUGUAAGUCAUAUCCGGUUGAAUCUCAACUUCUGUCGGAGAAAUAACAUGUGAAGGAUCUGAUCGAUACCGUCGUAGCAUAGACACAUGAAAAAAAUUAUGAAUUCUAUCGAGUUCCGGUAGUAAUGCCAAUAGAUAAUCGAUCAGUCACAUUCUUUCUAUGAUUUCAUAUGGCCCGAUAAAUCUUGGACUCAAUUUACCCUUUCAAUCGAACCGGAGAACUUUCUUCCAAGGAGACACUUUUAGGAAUACCUUAUCACCCACCUGAAAUUCAAUCUCUUUUCGUUUAAGAUCUGCAUAAGAUUUCUAAUGAUCGGAAGCUACUUUUAGACUAUCCCGAAUCACUUUUACUUUUUCUUUUGUUUCUCGGAUCAAAUCAACCCCAUGUAUCUUCUCUUCACUGAGCUCUGUCCAAUAUAACUGUGUUUUACAUUUUCUACCAUACAAAGCUUCAUAUGGUAGAUACCUCUCCUAAUUACCUUCAAACUCUAAUAUACAACAUCGGAGCAUAUCUUCCAAUACCUGAAUUACAUCCUCAAAUUGGCCAUCUUCCAAUAUCUUCCAAAGCUUCUUGCAAUUUGUCCCAGAAACGAGACGUAAAUCUGGGAUUUCUAUCAGAGAUAAUGGAGAUUGGCACUCCAUGUAGCCUGACAAUCUCAGAUAUAUACAGUUCAACCAAUUUAUCUAGAGAAUAAUCCAUACGUACCGGGAUAAAAUGUACUGAUUUUGUUAAUCGAUCAAUGAUCACCCAAAUGGCAUCUUUCUUCUUCGGUGACAAUGGUAAUCCCGACACAAAAUCCAUAGUAAUUCUUUCCCAUUUCCAUUUCGGUAUAGUAAUUGGCUGGACCAGUCCCAAAGGUACCUGAUGUUCUGCUUUGACCUGUUGACAUAUCAGACAUCUUGAUACAAACUCAGAAAUAUCACGUUUCAUACCUGACCGCCAGUACAUCUUCUUCAAAUCAUUAUACAUUUUAUUACCUCCCGGAUGUACGGACAUAAUACCACUGUGUGCCUCGUGUAAAAUCUUCUGUACAAGCUCUGAAUUCUUCGGUACACAUACUCUGCCUUUGAAUAAUAAACAAUCAUCAGUCCCAAUCUAAAAUUCUGAAUCAUUACCUGACUCACAUUGUACCCGUUUAGCCUGUAGCUUCUCAUCAUUUUUCUGAGCUUAAUAUAUUUGUUGUAGAAAUGUCGGUUUAACUCUCAACUCAGCUACGGCUGACCCAUCAUCAACCAAAGACAAUCGGGCAUUCAUAGCUCGCAAAGCAAAUAGAUAUUUUCGACUUAAAUCAUCAGCAACAACAGUAGCCUUACUCGGAUGGUAAUCAAUAAUCAAAUCAUAGUCCUUUAUCAAUUCAAGCCACCUACGCUGUCUCAAAUUCAGAUCUUUCUGUAUCAUCAGAUAUUUUAGAGUUUUAUGAUCAGUAUAAAUAUGACAUUUCUCACCAUACAAAUAAUGUCGCUAUAUUUUUAAUGCAAAUACAAUAGCAGCUAAUUCAAGAUCAUGCACCGGGUAAUUUCUUUCAUGUGGCUUAAGUUGUCUUGAAGCAUAGGCUAUAACUUUACCUUCUUGCAUCAAGACACAACCUAAACCAUUUAAUGAUGCAUCACUAUAAAUAAUAAAUUCUUUACUCGGUUCAGGUUGUACCAACACAGGUACUUUCGUCAACAAAUCUUUCAAUCAGUUGAAACUCUACUGGCAUUCAACAGUCCACUCAAAUUUAACAUCUCUCUGUAAUAAACGGGUCAUCGGAGAAGAUACCAUAGAGAACCUCUGUACAAAUAUUCGAUAAUAACUAGCUAAACCUAAGAAACUUCUAACUUCAAAUACAUUUUUCGGUGGACUCCAAUUGACAAUAGUUGAGAUUUUACUCGGAUCUACCCUGAUGGUUUCUGCGGAUACAAUAUGUCCGAGAAAACCCACUUCUCAAAGCCAAACUUCACAUUUACUGAAUUUAGCAUAUAGCUGCUUCUCUCGUAGAAUUUGCAACACAAUUCUCAAAUGUUCUGCAUGCUCAUUUUCAUCUCGGGAAUAGACUAAUAUAUCAUUAAUAAAAACUACCACGAACCUGUCUGAGUACGGUCUAAAUAUCUGAUUCAUCAGGUCCAUAAAUAUUACAGGUGCAUUAGUCAUCCCAAACGGCAUAAUAAGAAACUCAUAAUGCUCAUACCUGGUUCUGAAAGCUGUUUUCGGUGCAUCUGACUCCUUUACCCGUAACUGAUAGUAUCCCGAUCGGAGAUCAAUCUUUGAAAAUACAGUGGCAUCCUUCAACUGGUCAAACAGAUCAUCGAUUCGAGGCAAUGUGUACUUAUUCUUUAUAGUGACUUUGUUGAGCCGUCGGUAAUCAAUACAUAAUCUUAAGGACCCGUCUUUCUUUUUCACAAAUAGAAUCGGAGCACCCCAAGGUGAAUGACUUGGUCGGACAAAACCCCUGUCAACAAGUUCUUGCAACUGUGUCUUUAACUCCUUUAAUUUCGUAGGAGCCAUACGAUAUGGAGCUAUGGAGAUUGGAGUAGUUCCCAGAAUCAGAUCUAUAGAAAAUUCCACUUUCUUCUGAAAACACAUCGAAAAAUUCACAUACAACUGGCACUGCCUGUAUCUUUGACUCAGAUACCUUAGUGCCUAACACAUAUGCCAAAUAAACAUCAUACCCUUUUUUGACACACCUCUGAGCUAUCAUAACCGAAACCACAUUAGAUAAUUCCUCUAUCUGAUCAGAUUUAACCCGAAGUAAUUCUCCAUUCUAACACUUCAGCACAAUAUAUUUCUGUCUAAAGUUUACUACUGCAUCAUGCUGAGUUAGCCAAUCCAUACCCAAUAUCACAUCGAACUCAUCAAAAGGCAAUAACAUUAAGUCAACCGGAAAAUAAAUACCUUUUACCAUCAGUGGAAAAUUUUUACAAACUUUAUCCACCAUCACAAACUGGCCCAAGGGGUUCGAGACACUAACCACAAAUUUAGUAGGUUCAACAGAUAAAUUUUUAACAAAUACUAAUUUUGUGCAUAUAUAUAAAUGUGUAGAACCAGGAUCAAUCAAUGCAGUAAUAUUAAUAUCAAGUAAAAAAAUGUACUAGUAAUAACAUCGGGUGCUGAGGUAUCUUCUCUAGCACGGAUGGCAUAUGUCCUAGCAGGUGCUCAUGCCACAGGCCUACCUGCAGUAUCUUUCGUAACUCCUCGGCUACCACUGACAUUACCAUAUGGUCGAGGUGGUCUACCCCUCGAAAUUGGAUUACUCGGCUUUGAUGUCUGUUCAGCUUCUUUUUCACCUCUUUCUGGAUAAUCUCUGAGGAAAUGAUCGAAAGAACCACAUCGGUAACAAGCCCCGCUCUUUAAUCGGCAUUUACAAAAAUGAGUUUUAUUACAGUACUGACAUCUCGGCUUAGGGGUACCAACACUGCCAACACUGGUCACUAAUGGAGUGGAAGGUCUUGGAUUAGUGCGUUGAAAACCUCGCUCUCUACCCGAAUACCCAGUAGCUGAGGUAGAGUGAUCUUGGUAUUUCUUCAAUUUCUUUGAAGCAGAAAAUUGAGAUUUUUCUAUCGAUCUUUUACUAAGAAUUUGAGCUUCCCUCACAGCCAAUUUCUUUUCUUUACUCAGUUCUUUUGCUUUAUAAACUCGCUCUACCAAUAUAGCGCACUAUCGAAUUUUAAGAAUUCUGAUCAGUAGCUUAAUUUCUUCAUUCAACCCUUUUUCGAAUCUUUUACACAUUUUGGCUUCUGAUUGUACCCAUUCCUGAGCAUAUUUACUCAAUCGGACAAAUUCUCUUUCAUACUCAGAUACUGAUCUGUUACCCUAUUUCAGCUCAAGAAAUUCUUUUCUCUUCAGAUCGAGGAACCUCUGAAUGAUAUAUUUCUUUCUGAACUCGGUCUAAAAGAAUUCCCAUGUAAUUUUUUCUUUCAGAACAACUGAACCUUUAGUAUUCCACCAAUGGUAAGCUGUAUCUUUUAGUAAUGAUACUGCACAUUUCAGACACUCUUUUGGUGUGCAAGAUAAUUCCUCCAAAACCCGAGUAGUAUUUUCUAACCAAAACUCAACCCGUUCGGGAUCAUCAUCAACUGCAGCUCUGAAUUCUUCUGCGCCAUAUUUUUUAUUUUAUCAACCGGAGCUUUUUCUUUUCUGAUAGAUUUAGUACCUAUACCCUGUGAAAUCUCUAAAAUCGGUAGAGGAGGACGAGGAGGAGGUUGAGUUUGCUGCACUUCAGGGUUAGUUCUUAUAUACUGAGUAAACCAUUCAUUCAUCAUUUGAUAGAAGGCCAUUUUAGCCUCUUCACUUUGGUCCCUUGUCUCGGACCUUCUACUACUAGUAGCUUCAACUUCUCUUUGUUCUAAACCCGGAGCAUGACUCUAGGCUUCCUCGGGUUGAGCUCCUUCAGCAAGCAUUUACUAUAAGACAACCAAAUUUCAAAUGGUCAGGAGAUACCACACUAUCAAUAAUAAUUUAAAUGGCAUGUAUAGCUAAUACCGUAUUUGCUAUGUCGGCCGGAGAACCGGCUAAAUCGUAGCUCUGAUACAAACAAAUGCAAUACCCUCUACCCGUAUUCGUCGCUGAAAUAGAGUAUGAGGCAUUACCAGAUUUUACCGAAUAAAUUUUUCGUUAUUAUGAGUUAAAUACUAUUUAUUUAUCGAAACAUGUCAUGACGUCCCUUGGAUGGGCCUUCGAAGCCCAAAAAAUACAUCAGGACCAAACCUGGAUUAAAUCGAAACCAUAAGAAAUUUUUCACAAAAUCCCAAAGUUUUUUUUAUGAACUCAAUAUAACCCCUUUAUAAAUAUCUAAUCUUCCCUGCAAUUUUAAACCGAGAGCAAUCCAACACAACCAAUCCAUUUCAACAUAUUUUCAAGAUAGAUUUAACAUAUUCAUAAGAUAACCUCAUCACAUACCAAAACCAAAAUUUGUUAGCCAUACCAAUGGCUAACCAUAUAUUCAUUUCACAUUAACAUUUACUUUACUAGCUUAUACAUGCCAUUGAUUUUCAAAAUAAAGUUUUUUUAUAUACAGAGAUCUUGAGGUUGAUAGUGUGAUGCGUCUCCGACCAAAUCCAACCUCUGACCUCUUAACAUUACAACACAGGGGAAAAGGAAACAGGGUAAGCACUUUGUGCUUAGUAAGCUCAUGUAACAAGAAUUAUACUUACCUAAAAUUUUCAAUACAAUGCAAUAAACAUUCAUACAUCCAUUCAAUGCAUUAUCCCUUUAACAUGCACAAACUCAAUAUUCAAGUUAAUUCAGUAAUUUCUAUAUAUCAAUAAUAUAUAUACCAUGAUUGAUGAGCUCAUCAAUUCCAUGAUUUCCAUUCCCUCGUUAUUUUUCCAUAUUUAUCUCGUUGAACUACUUAGAAUUUCGAUGGAUUUUCAGGCUAAAUCCCCUGCAAUGACAAUUAGUCUAAUGAGCUUAGAUCUGAAUUACCAGUCCAGGCUAAAUUCAGCCCUAAUUUGGAUUACCCGUCCGGGCUAAAUCUAUUUUCCACAUAUUCUUCAGGAGGGCUAUAUCAGGAUAGGAUCACCCGUCCGGGUUAGAUCCUUUUUACCGUCAAUUCCUUUUCAGAGAUCCAUCGAAUUUUCCUUCCAUUCAACUGAGAUUUCUUCCCGUUUUUAUCAAAUAUAUCAAUGUUUCAUCGAUUUUCAUACAAUGAGCAUUCAAAUCAUAUUCAAAUCAAUAAAAAACAUUUCAAGCAUUUAAGAAUAUAAUUAAAGGUACACGAACUUACCUUGAUACUUGUUCGUAUGCAAAAAUCUACUAAUCCUUAACUUUUUCUUUUACUCAAUCUAGCUUCGUAUUUGAAUUUUCUGGAUUUAAAUAAAUAAAUUUAAUCAUUAAUUUAAUAAAUUUCAUGUUCAUAUGUAACAUUCUCUCUAAUCCCAUUAUUAUUUAUCGUUCAUUCAAAGCUGUCUACUUGAGUCAUAGUCACUAAAUUAUUUAUAUCUUGAGCUACGGAACUCCAAAUUAAGAUCCACUAAUUUUUCCCACAACUAGACUCAUAUAUUUUCUUACCUUAAAAUUUUCAAAAUUUUUGAUUGAGCCAAUAAGUACAGCUUAUUCUUUAAAGUCAUCCCUAUUUUGCUGUCUGACAGUUUUGACCCUUCUUCACUAAAAAUUAAUUAUCUCAUCGUACAAGAUGCGGAUGAUGUUCUUGUUUCUUUCUUUUGAAAAUAAAGUCAUUAAAGAUUUUAAAAAUAUAAAUUUAAGCCCCUAAUUAUUUUCCUCCAAUUUUUUUAUGAUUUUCCAAAAUCAGAGCAGAGUAACCCGAAAUCAUUUUGACCUUGUCUCACAAAACCUAUUACAUCUCAUGAUAUACAAUUCCAUUGCUUAUACCGUUUCUUCUAUAAGAAACUAGACUCAAUAAGAUUUAAUUUCAUAUUUUAUUCAUCCUAUAAUUCGAUUUAUAAAAUUUUUGGUGAUUUUUCAAAUUUAGACUAUUGCUGCUGUCCAAAACUGUUUUAGUGCCAAGUGUUGAUUUCCAUUUUACCCCAAAUUUCACAGUUCAUACAAUUCAGUCCUUAAUCAAUUAACCCCUCAAUUAAGCUAAUUUUUCUCAAUUAAUACUUUACCUAGACAUUAUAAGUUAUUUCAUAAUUAUUGAAAUUCAUAAUUUCCACAUAAAACCCUAACUUCAAACUCUUUUACAAUUAGGUCUCAAACAUUCACUUUCUAUUCAAUUCUUUCAAUAAAAUCGGCAUAUAAACAAUUUAAAGCUCUCAUUCCAUGCUAAAUGACCACAUACUUCUAGCACAUAUUCAUAGAAACUUUCAAUUUCAUUCAUAAAAUCAUAAACUAAUGAAUUUAGUAAUAGGACCUAGUUGUAAAAGUCUUAGAAACACAAAAAUUACAAGAAAAAGGCAAGGAUUAACGCACUUGGUGUAAAAAUUAUGAAAUAACAACUUGAAUAAACCCUUAGGACAUUUUUGGCUGAUGAUAAUAAAUAAAAUAUGAAGAGAAUUCUAGAUAUUACAAGUUGGUCCAAUUUUUAUUUUAGUACAUUUUGUUGUUUUCCCAUUUUGCCCUUAUUUCACCAAUUCUCCCAAUUUUUCUCAGCUUAUGCCGCCCAAAAUAUCUCCUUUUGGGCUUAUUUGCAAUUUAUGUCCCUCCUCAUUUAACAAUUGAGCUAUUUAAUCAUUCUAGUAACUUUUACACCAUUUUCAAUUUAGUCUUUUUCACUUAAUUAACUACCCAAACGUAGAAAUUUUUUAACGAAAUUUUAAUACCAUAUUACUAACACUUCAUAAAUGUUUAUAAAAGUAUUUUUUACUCGGUUUUAUGAGAUCGAGGUCUCGAUACCUUGUUUUUAUCCAAUUUCUUCAAUAAUUUCUUUUUCUAACUAACCACUAAAUCCGUAAAAUUUUUCUAUCGAUAUUUUUAUACGAUUUUUCUAUCAUAUCAAUAUUCAUGCAAAAAUAUUAAAAUAAAUUUCUCUUUAAAUUGGGUUUGUGGUUACGAAACCACUGUUCUGAUAACCUUGAAUUUAGGUCAUUACAAGAAUGGUAUAGCAAGAUCGAUGGGUAUCUUUAGAAGAAAAGGUACAUGAGAAGUGAGAAUGAGCCCACCUUGUUUGUGAUAAAGGAAGGUAAAAAUUAUUUCAUCAUUAUGGAGCAGCAAAACGGGUCUUGCGGUACAUUGCUAGAACUUUGGAGUAUGGCAUUUGGUACUAAAAAACUUUAAAUUUCAGAUUGUAUGGGUUCACAGACAGUGAUUGGGCAAGUUCUUUAGAUGAUAGAGAAAGUGUAUCAGGAAAUGUUUUCACUCUAGGUUCAGGGGUGAUCACUUGGAGUUCUAAAAAGCAAGCUACAACAGCAUUGUCAACCUCAGAGGCUGAGUAUGUAGUAGUAACUGCAGCAACUUGUCAAGCUAUUUGGCUAAGGAGAGUGUUAGUCUAUCUUCAACAAGAGCAGAAAUAUGCAACAAAGAUAUUUUGUGACAACAAAUCAACUAUCUCUAUGACAAAGAAUCCAACAUUUCAUAGUAGAACAAAACACAUCGAUAGUCAUUAUCAUUUCAUUCGUGUUUUGGUAGCAAAAGAGGAGAUAUCUUUAGAGUAUUGCAGCACCCAAGAGUAGCUAGCAGAUAUGUUAACAAAGGCUUUAUCAAAUGAGAAGUUCAGCUAUUUUUGAAGUCUACUUAGUUACUGCAACUUUGAAUUAAAGGAGAGUGUUGAGAAUUAAUUCAAAGUAGUGGGUUGUUUAGUUGACCAAGUAUCUCGGUAGAAUCUUUGUUAGUUCCAGAUUUUCAGUUUAAUUGAAUAAGUUGUUAGCUAUUUUUGUGUUAAGGUAGUUUCUUUGUAAGCCUAUAAAUAUAGGCAUUUGUAACAACCCGUUUUCAGUGAAAUUAGAACAGUGGUUUCGGGACCACAAAUUCGAGUCUAGAAGAAAAAUUAUUUUAAAAUUAUUUUAUGGUUUACCGUAUGAUAGGAAUAUUGUAUAAAAAUUUUGUUAAGAAAAUUUUACCGAUUUCAUGUUUAAUUAGAUGGAAAGGACCAAAUUGUAUAAAAUGCAAAAGUUGAGUUCUAGUAGCUACAAGUAUCAAAUAUCUAUGAAAUUCAAAAUUGGAGGUCCUUAUAUGGAAAAUAGACCAUUAAGAGGAGUUAGUAGAUAAGUUUGAUGAUUCAUCCAUGGAAAACUAAAUAAAGAAAAGGAUGAAAUUAGAAAGUAAAAUAAUAAAUGAUGAUAAAUGAUAAAAUAAUAAAAAUGUCAUCAUAUUAUCAUAUUAUCAUCUUUCCCAAAUUAUUUUACAUGGAAACCCUAGCUAAGAGAAAAGAAUUCAAGCAAGCUUACUUGAUUUAAUUGGGUAAGUAAUCUUGUCCCGUUUUUUAGUAAUUUUUAUAUUUCCGAGAUAGUAAUAGCUUAAUCUAACUAUCUCGGGGAUUAAUUUGUAAAGUUAUCAAAGUAUUAAAGUUUUGCCAUGGAUGAAUAUGCAUGAAUUAUGAAAUUUAUGGAAGAAAAUGAAAGGUUGUUGAUAGAUAAACAAUUUUUGUAAAGUGAAUUUUGAUGAAAUGAUUUAGGGACUAAAUUGUAAACAUGUAAAAUUCAUAAAAAAAUUAUAAAUUUUAUGAAAUACAUGGGCUGUUAAUGUUACAUGUAAAAAUCAGUUAGUCUUGAAAUAAGAAUUAAAUUGCAUGAAUUUUAUUUUCCGAGCCUAGGGACGAAAUCAUCAUUAAUUAAAAGUAUAUGGGCAAAAUGGUAAUUUUGUCUAAGAUGUGAAUUGAAUUGAAUUGAAUAUGAAUUGUAUUAAAUUGAGCUAAAUUUACUCGUAUAGAUUUGGAUAGACCAUAUAUAGAGCUAGAUCAAAGUAAAGAAAAAGUAACAGAUUAGUAGCAUACAAGUUCACAAACAUUGUCGAGGUAAGUUUGUGUAACUAAAUUGAGAAUUUAUAUGUGUUAAUUGAAUUGUAUCUAUGUGUUAAUUGAAUUGUAUGUAUGUGUUCGUAUUAUUGUCGUGUAUAUGAAAGUAUUCACAUAUCUGACAAUGAUCAAUAAGUAUAAAGUCUCAUUUGAAUAUAUAAAGUUUGAUGGUUACAGGAUUCUUGAAUUGGUUGUUGUCCUGCAUAUGUUGUGGGCACACCAUAGCUCGAAAGAGCAUCCCAUUAUUAAUCCUCUCGAGCUUCCCAUUAUAUGGUUCUUGCGAGCUUUCCGUUAUUAGCUCUUCAGAGCAUCUCGACUGGUUGUGAUUCUGCAUAUGUUGUAGACACACCAUUGCUCUUAUGAGCGUCCUGUUAUAUGGCUCUUCGUGAGCUUCUCGAUUAAAGGCUCUUUGUGAGCUUCCUAAUUAAUGGCUCUCUAAAGCUUCUCGAUAUGGCUCGCUUGAACUUCUCGAUAUAUGGCUAUCUGAAGCUUCCCGUUAAUGGCUUGUUAGAGCUACUCGUUAUUGGCUCGCAUAAGCUUCCCGUUUAUGGCUCUUAUGAGCUUCCUGUUAUACAGCCCGGAUAAGUUUCCCGUUACAUGGCUCACAUAAUCUUCCCAUUAUUUAGCUUGAGAGGGGGCUUCCCAAUUAUGUACUCUAAUGAGCAUCUCCGAGUAUGAAUUGACAAAUUUCAAAUCCGUACACUUCAUGUUUACUACCCUUGUAUCCAUCGAUAUUUUAAAUGAUUCAACGGGUAAAGUUUCGAUAUGAGAUGAUAUGAAUUCAAGAUGAAUUACUAUGAGAAAUACUUGAAAUACAAAGAUAUGAUAUAUACAUGUUCAUGGAUACUUGAAAUGAUAAAUACAUGUAUGUGGAAAUUGAAUAUUGAUGAGCUUAUACAUGUUUCUUGAUAUUCAUAUGAAUUACAUGACUAACAUGCUUGAUGAAGAUAUGUGUUUAAGCAAUUGGCCAAUUUGUUUUGGAUGUAUUUUAUAUGCUUACCUUAAAUGUAAAUGAAUGGUAAGUUAAUUUACCGUUAUACGAACUUACUAAGCUUUAAAGUUUACUUUGUUUAUUUUCCUUGUUUUAUAAUAUUUGGAAGCUCAUAAAGGUUGGAAGCUGGUCGGAGCUGCACCACACUAUCCUCCAACUCGUUUUGGUAUAAAUAACAAAUUUCUUUUUUGGGUAUAAUGGCAUGUAUAGGCUAAAGUUGAUCAAAUGAUGGCAUGUUUGUGUUUAGUUGUGAAUUGCCAUUGGUAUGGCUUAUGUUUGAUACAUUUUGAUAUAUAUAAGUAUAUGGCCUUAUCAUGGUUGAUGUGUGUUUUGGUAUAAUUGAUUGAUGGUUAACUAAUAGGCAAAUUGUAACAUGGCUUGAGUUGGUACAAAUAUGAAUAUAUAUGUGUAAGUAAUCAAAUUGUUAAGCUUGGAUACUUGAUUAUAUAAGAUGAAAUGUUAUCCAUAAGACUUGGUUUUGGUUUGAUUCAAAUGUUUUAUAUUGGAUUGGGAAUAUGUUUAAGUGUUAAUGUAGGUGGAAGACAUGUUUGGGUGAGAAAUAAGGCUUAGAAAUGGCCUUAUUUUGUCCACACGGGAGUGUGUCUCAGCCGUGCACAUGGGCGUGUGCUCUAGUCGUGUAUCCCUUACAUCUUAAAAAUUUUAAAAUAGAAUGCUCAGAAUUGAUCACACGGCCUGACACACAGGCGUGUGGCUUGGUCGUGUGACCCUUGCACCUACACACGGCCUAGCACACGAGCAUGUGACUUGGCUGUGUGACCCAAGUCAGAGAGUUACACGUGUGUGGAUACGGGCUGGGACACGGCCGUGUGCCCUAUUUCAAAUGCCCACACAGCCUGAGACACAGGCGUGUGUCCCCUGCACUUAGGAAAAAAUUUAAGAUUUUGCGAAAAAUUCUCUGAUUACCCGGUUUAGUCCUAACUUAUUUCUAAUACAGAUUUUGGGUCUCGAGGGCUCAUAAGAGGGACAAUAUGAUUGGUUAUGAAUAGAUUCUGAUAUGAUUGAUAAAUUUUAUGAAAUGUCUGUUAUACGUUCUGUAAAUUUCGAUAAUGCUCCGUAAUUCUGUUCCGGCGACGGAUACGGGUUAGGGGUGUUACAACAUUUAUGCUUUGUUUUACCAAUUUAGUGUUCAUCAAUAAUAGAAUAAUUGAUGCAUAUUGUAAUUGUCUCUUUCACGUUUCCUUCUUCAACAUAUACUAUCAUAUUAAUUAAUAUUAUCACAUAAUAAUACUAAUAAAUUAUUUCUUUUUGGUAAAUAAAGCCUCAAAAUAAUUAUAUUAUUAUUUUAGUAUCAUUAUGCAUAAACAUACUAUCAAAUCCACAAUUCCACGUGCAACGAUCUAGGAGAGAUUUUGUUGGAGAUCCUUUAUGCAUAAGUUGUGGAUAUGUUGAAGAGUGUAUUAUUCAUGCUCUACGAGAUUGUGCCAAUGUAGGAGAAGUCUGGAGGCAGGUAGUCUCUUCGAGGAUUUUAGGGGAUUUUCUUUCUGCUCCACUGCUGGAGUGGAUCUCGUUGAAUUAAAAAAAAUAAAUUAUUAUUUUAAAGUUUGUUUUAUAUAUUAUAGAUUAAUUGAUGCACUAUUUCUCACUUGAAAUAUAAAUUUCUUAUCGAUUGAGUCUUAGCUCGAUUUACAUAAAUAUUGUUAUCAAUAUAGGAGGAUGUGAGUUCGAGUACACUUAUAAAUAGAGGAUGUGAUUGAAGUCGAUGUCGAAACCUCUUUUUUUUUUGAAAAAAUAGGGUCGACUUUUAAAACGAAAAAAUAGAGUCGCCACCGAUCUUUUAUUGAGGUGUGAUCAAAUCACCUUGAAAACGAUUUUACGUCUACGAAUUUUGAGAAAAUAGGUUCGGGAGUCGGUUACACACGAGGAAGGGUUAGCACACUCGUAACGCCCAAAAUUGGUACCUAAUUGAUUAUUAAUGUCAUAUAGUCGAAUGUCGUAAAUUUGAAAAGAUUAAAAACGAUCCCCAUUUAUUAAUAACAUAUCUUAAAAUAGUACUUGGAUAAAUUUAAACGAAUGUAAAAAAGCCUUCUAAUCCCGAGACGACAAAAUAUCGUAUCCCGUAAGUUAGGAUGCAACAUUUGAAUUCCCGAGUGUAAGCUAAAAAAAUCUUUAUUGAAACUUUGUAUAUUUGAAAACUAAGAUAUUUAGCCGUUUUAGUUCGACGAGAAAGAUCAAAACCCCGUAAGUUAGAGCACGAUUUCUCAUCGUUCCAAAGACGACAUAUUGCAAACUUCAUUUUUUUUAUGAAAUUGGAUCGAAGCGAAGGUUUAAUGCAAUAUUAACAAUGAUAUAAAUUUGAUUUAUUUGAAAUGAAAAGAAAUGAAAUAAUCAAAUUAACUAUGAUGUAAUGUUCGAAACUGAAAAGCAAAUAUAUGAACAUGGGAUAAUAUACAUGGGCAGAAUACUAAACAAUAUGUGCGUACAAACCCCAAACACACAUAAUAAUUAUCGAACUUGAAAUAAUAUAUAAAACAAACUUAAUUCCAAAAAAAGGGUACAUAAAUAAAACAACAUGGAGUAAGUAAUAGGCUAAAAAAUUCUUUUAUGCAAAUCAAUUUAAGAUAAAAUGAAUACAUGAAAUGAAUUGAAAUAAAUUAUUUAAUAUAUUGUUUAAAACAACUAAUAAAACACAAUAUACAAAAAUAUUUACGCAAAUGAUGUAACAGCCCGGUCUAAACCCUAGUCGGACAGUGGUUUCGGGACCACAAAUUCGAAUUAGAAAAAUAUUUUAAUAUUAUUUUCUGUGUCUAUUAUGUGUGAAUUUGCUUGCGUGAAAUUUUCGUGUUUUAAUUUUAUCAUUUAAGUGUCCGAUUAAAUGAAAGGAUUUAAUCGCGUAAAAUGAAAAUUUAAGGGUUAAAUUCAAUAGGGCCGAAUAAUAGUUGUUCUUUUAAUUUAAAGGCUUUAUGUGGCAAAUAGACCAUUAUUAAAGCUAGUGGGAGGUAUUUGACAAGAAUGACCUUAGCAUAUAAGUUAGAAAUUAUUAUUAUUAAAGGUUAAUUGGUAAAUGAAUUAUAAUGUAUAUAUUAUAAUAAAACAAAUGAAAAUGUUAGUGGCUUGUUCAUCCACCCAUCACCGAAUGUUGAAAGAAAAAGAAAGAGUUGAAGCUUUGUUAUAUUCGGCCUAGGUUGAGCUUGAUUGAGGUAAAUUUUUUAAUCGGUUUUUGAUAAUUUUUACGUUUUUGAGAUCGUUGCUUCGUGUUCUUCAAAAUUCAUGCUUUAAUUUUUGGAAUUUAUGAUGAUUUUGUGAUGUACCGUUAAUAAUAGUUUGUGAUUUUUGUUGGUUGAUAGUAGAAAAUAAAAUAUAUGUGAUAAAUUAUAAUGUUUGUUUUUGAAUUUUUGAUGAAUUUGAUUAUAUUGAGUUACUGUAAUUAUAGGAUAGUUGAAAUUGGUUAUUUGCAUAAUGAAUAUUGUUUAUGGAAUUGGCCUUAUUAAAUGACCUUUGAUUAAUUGAGGGAAUAAAUAAUACUAAUAUAUAUGUAUAUAUAUAUAGGAUUCGGUGUUGGUAUGUUUGGUAUGAAAAUGUUGAACAUUGUUGAAUUUGACAUUAGUUAAAAAUAAAAUUAUAUUCGGCUAAAGUUUGAAAAAUUGACCAUAUGAAUAGUAACUUUAUUUGUUUGAUGAACAAAUAUUUAUAUACAGUUUGAUUAACAGUUUUGUGUAAUUGAAUAAUAAUAUGCGAAUAUACUAUGAAAUUAUAUAAAUGCUUAUGGAAUGUUCGGCCCAAUGGUUAUAAAUGUUUGUAUUUAUAAGGUUGAUAUAGGUACAUAUAUUAAAAUAAGUAAAUUUUAAAUGUGAGUUUUAUAUACAUAAUUGGUCUUUUUGUUGUUUAUAAUAGAUUUAUUAGUUGAAUAAGUAAAAUGUGAUAUGACCGAUAGUGGUGUUUGAAAUAUCUUGGAUAAACUUUAAUUAUUAAUUAUAUGUUUACAAAUAUGUUCGAUACAUGAUAUGAAAUGACUCGUAAUAAAUUGAUAUUAUAUUUUUGAUUUAAGAUUAGGUUGUUUUAGUAGGUUGAACAUGCAGAUAUCUAUGAUUAUUCAAAAUUAAUUUUUGGUUCGUUAAUACCUCGUAACCCAAAUCCGGCGACGGUUACGGGUUAGGGGUGUUACAUUUGAUUGGUAUCAGAGCUACGGUUUAGUCGAUUCUAGGACUAACGUAGCGCGUGUGAGUCUAGCUAUACAUGCCAUAUUUUAUAUUGAGAUAGUGUGAUGACUUCUGACAUCUACAAAUGUGUUUUCGUAUAGUAAUGGAUCCCGAUCGAACUGUAGCGGAUGAUGUCGAGAGUGUAGCACCUGCUCCUGUGCAAGAGACGGAGCCGGUUGAUUCUCGACCGAAUCUGAGUAACCAUGGUGAUGAGACUAAACAAGCCUUCUAUACUAUGAUGAAUGAAUGGUUUACUCAAUAUAUCCGAACAAAUCCGGCUGUUCAACAACCUCCUACCCCGAUUAACCCACUUCUGAUGCCUGUGGUACCUCCGACUAUCGAUCCUCUGAGAUUGAAUAAACCUCCUGUUGAUAAGAUAAGAAAAUACGGAGCUGAAGAAUUUAGGGCCACAGCUAGUGAUGAUGCGGAACGGGUUGAAUUUUGGCUCGAUAAUACCAUUCGUGUAUUCGAUGAAUUAUCCUGUACACCUGAUGAGUGCCUGAAAUGUGCGAUAUCUUUGUUACGGGAUUCAGCUUACUAUUGGUGGAACACUUUAGUUUCGAUUGUUUCGAAAGAGCGUGUCACUUGGGAUUUCUUUCAGACAGAAUUUCAUAAAAAGUAUAUCAGUCAGCGAUUCAUUGAUCAGAAACGCAAAGAAUUUCUCGAGCUAAAUCAGGGUCGUAUGACCGUAUCUGAUUAUGAGCGUGAGUUUGUGAGACUCAGCCGAUAUGCCCGAGAGUGUGUUGCAACCGAGACUGCUAUGUGUAAAAGAUUCGAGGAAGGGCUGAAUGAAGACAUAAAAUUGCUUGUCGGCAUACUCGAAAUAAAAGAGUUCAUAGUACUCGUUGAGCGAGCUGGCAAGGCUGAAGAACUCAGCAAAGAGAAAAGAAAAGCUGAGUUUGAAGCUAGUGAUUUUCACAAGAGAUCAGCGAGUAAAACUUUUCAGACAGUAACAAAGAAGUUCAGAGAUGUUAGUAGCCGAUCUAAGGCUACUGCCGGGCUUUUUAUACAAGAACGAUCACCAAUGAGCUCAAGAGCCACCUCAGUUGCUAGUGUUGGUAAUACCCGGCUGAAUAAACCUAAGUGUCAGCAGUAUGGUAGGAGACAUGUUUGUGAGUGUUGGGGCAAGUACAACAAUCGAGUUUGCUAUAAAUGUGGAUCGAAAGAUCAUUUUAUUCGGGAGUGCCCAGAGUUUGCGGAUCAAAAUUUGACUCAGAAUACGAGAUCAGACAACACAGCAGCUCGGGGUAGACCACCCAGAAACACGGGUAAUGUGAGUGCCAGUCAGAGAGGUACUAAAGAUACAACUGUUAGAUCUGAGGCUCGCGCACUUGCCAGAGCCUAUGCCAUUCGCGCACGUGAGGAGGCUUCAUCCCCAGACGUUAUUACUGGUACUUUCACUCUCUAUAAUACUAAUGUUAUUGCACUGAUUGAUCCUGGUUCGACUCAUUCAUAUGUGUGUGAAACUUUAGUAUUCAGUAAGACUUUGCCUGUUGAGUCUACUGAAUUUGUGAUUAGAGUAUCAAACCCCCUAGGCCGGUGUGUAUUGGUUGACAAAGUGUGUAAGAAUUAUCCGUUGAUGAUUUGAGAUUUGUGUUUUACGGCUGAUUUGAUGUUGUUGCCAUUGGACGAGUUCGAUAUGAUUUUGGGUAUGGACUGGUUAACUUUACACGAUGCUGUGGUUAACUGCAAAAAGAAGACUAUUGAUUUAAGAUGCCUGAAUGACGAGAUUAUUCGGAUUGAAUCUAAUGAUCUGAAUGGUUUAUCGGCAGUGAUAUCCUCUAUGUUGGCUCAGAAGUAUGUGAGAAAAGGUUGUGAAGCUUAUCUUGCAUAUGUUCUUGAUAGUAAAGUGAUAGAAAAGAAGAUUGAAUCAGUACUUGUUGUAUGUGAGUAUCCAGAUGUGUUCCCUGAAGAAUUAUAGGGUUUACCACCUAUUCGAGAAGUAGAGUUUGGUAUUGAGUUAGUACCGGGGACGACUUCAAUUUCGAUAGCUCCGUACCGUAUGGCACUGACCGAAUUAAAAUAAUUGAAAGCACAAUUGCAAGAGUUUACUGAUAAAGGUUUUGCACGACCGAGUUUCUCUCCUUGGGGUGCACCAGUUCUAUUUGUGAGAAAGAAAGACGAAACUAUGAGAAUGUGCAUUGAUUACCGGCAACUCAAUAAGGUGACAAUAAAGAAUAAGUACCUGUUACCACGGAUUGAUGAUUUAUUCGAUCAGUUGAAAGGGACUACUGUGUUUUCGAAGAUAGAUCUGAGAUCAGGCUACUAUCAGUUGCGGGUUAAAGAUUCUGAUGUGCCAAAGACUGCUUUCCGAACGAGAUACGGACAUUAUGAGUUUUUGGUUAUGCCUUUCGGACUUACUAAUGCACCUGCUGUUUUCAUGGAUUUGAUGAAUCGGAUCUUUAGACAGUAUCUAGAUCAGUUUGUAGUAGUAUUCAUAGAUGAUAUUCUGAUCUACUCCCGUGAUGAGGCAAAGCAUGUUGAACAUUUGAGACUUGUGUUACAGACUUUACGAGAUAAAUAGUUGUAUGCAAAAUUCAGUAAAUGUGAGUUUUGGUCGCGUGAAGUCAGUUUCUUGGGCCAUGUUAUAUCAGCAUCAGGUAUUCGGGUUGAUUCGAGCAAGAUUUCGGCUAUACUUGAUUGGAAACCUCCGAGAAAUGUUUCGGAAGUUCGAAGUUUUCUGGGACUUGCCAGUUAUUAUAGACGGUUCGUAAAAGGAUUCUCUAUGAUUGCGACCCCGAUGACAAAGCUACUACAGAAAGACGUUAAGUUUGAGUGGUCAGAAAAGUGCCAGAAAAGUUUCGAUCAGUUGAAAGCUCUUUUGACCGAAGCUCCAGUAUUAGUCUAGCCAGAAUCGGGUAAAGAGUUUGUUAUCUAUAGUGAUGCAUCUUUAAAUGGUUUGGGUUGUGUUUUGAUGCAGGAAGGCAAAGUUGUAGCCUAUGCCUCAAGACAGUUAAAGCCGCACGAAAAGAACUAUCCGACGCAUGAUUUGGAAUUGGCUGCUAUUGUAUUUGCGUUGAAAAUAUGGCGCCACUAUCUGUUUGGCGAAAAAUGCCAUGUUUAUUCUGAUCACAAAAGCCUAAAGUAUUUAAUGACUCAGAAAGUUCUGAAUUUGAGACAGCGCCGAUGGUUAGAAUUGCUAAAAGAUUACGAGCUUGUGAUUGACUAUCAUCCGGGAAAGGUUAAUGUUGUUGCUGAUGCCCUAAGUCGAAAAUCAUUGUUUGCUUUGCGUGUAAUGAACGCACAUAUGGCUAUAUCUGAUGAUGGUGCGAUAGUAGCUGAAUUGAAAGCAAAACCGUUACUUGUUCAAUAGAUUUGUGAAGCUCAGAAAGCUGAUGAUGAUUUAAUUGCAAAACGAGCUCAGUGUGACUUAAAUGUUGAUUCAAAGUUUCUAGUUGAUGCUGAGGAUUGUUUGAGAUUCAGAAACCGAUUAUGUGUUUCGAGAAAUUCAAAGUUAAUUCAGGUGAUUUUAAAUAAAGCUCAUAAUAGUCGAUUUUCUGUUCAUCCGGGUAGUACGAAAAUGUAUAACGAUCUGAAACAGCACUAUUGGUGGCAUGGUAUGAAACGAGACAUUUUUGACUUUGUUUUGAAAUGUUUAAUUUGUCAACAAGUUAAAGCCGAGCAUCAGGUACCAUCUGGGUUGCUUCAGCCGAUCAUGAUACCUGAAUGGAAGUGGGAUCGAGUCACGAUGGAUUUUGUAUCCGGUUUACCGUUGACACCGAGCAAGAAGGAUGCAAUUUGGGUUAUUGUUGAUAGGUUGACAAAAUCGACACACUUUAUUCCGAUUCGCACAGAUUUUUCGCUCGAUAAACUUGCGGAAUUGUAUGUUUCACAAAUUGUGAGGUUGCAUGGUGUACCUAUUUCUAUUGUUUCGGACAGAGACCCGAGAUUCACAUCGCGGUUUUGGAAGAAAUUACAAGAUGAUUUAGGUACGAAACUACAUUUUAGUACAGCUUUCCAUCCGUAAACAGAUGGUCAAUCCGAGCGAAUCAUUCAGAUACUUGAGGAUAUGUUGAGAUGUUGCAUUCUUGAGUUUGAAGGUACGUGGGAACGAUACUUACCUUUGAUUGAAUUUGCUUAUAAUAAUAGCUUUCAAUCUAGUAUCUAAAUGGCACCUUACGAGGCUUUGUACGAUCGUAAAUGUCGUACUCCAUUGUAUUGGACCGAGCUCAGUGAAAACAAGAUACAUGGGCUAGAUUUGAUUAAAGAGACUGAACAGAAAAUGAAAGUGAUUCGGGAUAGUCUGAAAACAGCAUCGGAUCGUCAGAAGUCUUAUGCAGACUUGAAAAGAAAGGAUAUAGAAUUUCAGAUUAGGGACAAAGUGCUUUUGAAAGUCUCACCAUGGAAGAAAAUACUCAGAUUUGGUCACAAAGGCAAAUUAAGUCCGAGAUUCAUUGGACCAUAUGAGAUUAUAGAGCGUAUCGGCCUGGUUGCUUAUAGAUUGUUGUUGCCACCUGAGUUAGAAAAGAUUCACAAUGUAUUCCAUGUUUCGAUGCUUCGUAGAUACAGAUCCGAUCCUUCGCAUGUGAUUAGUCCGACUGAGAUUGAAAUUAACUCUGAUAUGUCAUAUGAAGAAGAACCGAUUCGCGUUCUGGCCCGCGAAGUUAAAGAACUGCAAAAUAAGAAAAUUCCAUUAGUGAAAGUGCUGUGGCAUAAACACGGAGUUGAAAAGACAACUUGGGAGCUGGAAGGCGCAAUGAAAGAACGCUAUCCGAACCUAUUCACUGGUAAGAUUUUCGGGGACGAAAAUUUUUAAAGGGGGAGAGUUGUAAUAGCCCGGUCUAAACCCUAGCCGGAGAGAGAUUUCAGGACCACAAAUCUGAAUUAGAAAAAUAUUUUAAUAUUAUUUUCUGUGUCUAUUAUGUGUGAAUUUGCUUGCGUGAAAUUUUCGUGUUUUAAUUUUAUCAUUUAAGUGUCCGAUUAAAUGAAAGGAUUUAAUCGCGUAAAAUGAAAAUUUAAGAGUUAAAUUCAAUAGGGUCGAAUAAUAGUUGUUCUUUUAAUUUAAAGGCUUUAUGUGGCAAAUAGACCAUUAUUAAAGCUAGUGGGAGGUAUUUGACAAGAAUGACCUUUGCAUAUAAGUUAGAAAUUAUUAUUAUUAAAGGUUAAUUGGUAAAUGAAUUAUAAUGUAUAUAUUAUAAUAAAACAAAUGAAAAUGUUAGUGGAUUGUUCAUCCACCCAUCACCGAAUGUUGAAAGAAAAAGAAAGAGUUGAAGCUUUGUUAUAUUCGGCCUAGGUUGAGCUUGAUUGAGGUAAAUUUUUUAAUCGGUUUUUGAUAAUUUUUACGUUUUUGAGAUCGUUGCUUCGUGUUCUUCAAAACCCAUGCUUUAAUUUUUGGAAUUUAUGAUGAUUUUGUGAUGUACCAUUGAUGAUAGUUUGUGAUUUUUGUUGGUUGAUAGUAGAAAAUAAAAUAUAUGUGAUAAAUUAUAAUGUUUGUUUUUGAAUUUUUGAUGAAUUUGAUUAUAUUGAGUUACUGUAAUUAUAGGAUAGUUGAAAUUGGUUAUUUGCAUAAUGAAUAUUGUUUAUGGAAUUGGCCUUAUUAAAUGACCUUUGAUUAAUUGAGGGAAUAAAUAAUACUAAUAUAUAUGUAUAUAUAUAUAGGAUUCGGUGUUGGUAUAUUUGGUAUGAAAAUGUUGAAUAUUGUUGAAUUUGACAUUAGUUAAAAAUAAAAUUAUAUUCGGCUAAAGUUUGAAAAAUUGACUAUAUGAAUAGUAACUUUAUUUGUUUGAUGAUCAAAUAUUUAUAUACAGUUUGAUUAACAGUUUUGUGUAAUUGAAUAAUAAUAUGCGAAUAUACUAUGAAAUUAUAUAAAUGCUUAUGGAAUGUUCGGCCCAAUGGUUAUAAAUGUUUGUAUUUAUAAGGUUGAUAUAGGUACAUAUAUUAAAAUAAGUAAAUUUUAAAUGUGAGUUUUAUAUACAUAAUUGGUCUUUUUGUUGUUUAUAAUAGAUUUAUUAGUUGAAUAAGCAAAUGUGAUAUGACCGAUAGUGGUGUUUGAAAUAUCUUGGAUAAACUUUAAUUAUUAAUUAUAUGUUUACAAAUAUGUUCGAUACAUGAUAUGAAAUGACUCGUAAUAAAUUGAUAUUAUAUUUUUGAUUUAAGAUUAGGUUGUUUUAGUAGGUUGAACAUGCAGAUAUCUAUGAUUAUUCGAAAUUAAUUUUUGGUUCGUUAAUGCCUCGUAACCCAAAUCCGGCGACGGUUACGGGUUAGGGGUGUUACAAAUGAAGUAUGAAGAAAAUUUAGAAUAUACAUUAAGAAAAAUUAGAAUAUACAUUAUAUGGAAAAAUAAUAAAAAUAAUUUAGAAAAUAAGUAAUAUGUAUAAUCCAAAAUAAAUAGUAUGUAUAUGGAUGAAGUUUAAAACAAUACAUGAAUUAAAACAAAUAAUAUAUAUGAAUCCACAAUUUAAUACAAAUAAUAUCUACAAUUUGAAAUGAAUUGGAUAAUUUACAAUAAAUAAUAUAUAAUAAAUUUGAAAUAAUAAUACAUAUAAAAUUUAAAAAUUUUGAUGAUAAUUCUAGAAUAAUCAUACGUGAUAAAUCCAAAAUAAUAAAUUUAAAAAUAUUAAUGAUAAAUUUGAAAUAGAUAUACAUGAUAAAUUUAAAAUAAUGUUAACAAUGAAUUUAAAAUAAUAAUAUUGAGAAAUUAAAAAUAAUAAAACAUGAUAAAUCUAAAAUAAUAAUAUACAAUACACUUAGAUAAUAUUAAUGAUUAAUUUAAUAAUAAGUAUAAACAUUCAAAUAAUAUUAGAUUUAAAAUUAAAAAAAAACAUAAUAAUCAAUACUUAAAUAAAUAAAACACAAGAAAAUUAAAUCAAACUAGUGAGGAUUAAAUUGAAUUUAAAAUAGAAUUAAAAGGAAAAAAUGAGAAUAAAACAAAAUUGAGGGCCAAAAUAUGAAAAAAAAUAGAUAGUAUAAAAAAUAAAUUGCAAUUGAUAAUAUAUGGAAAAAAAAUUUAAAGCAAAUAAUCAAACAAUUUAAAAUAGAUGAUUUAUAACACGAGUUUUUAAAAAAUAAACAUGUGUGACAUAAUAUUAAAAACAAAUAAAGUAUAUAAUUAAUGGGAAAAAAAGAAUGAUAAGAAUGGUUAAAUGAAUGAACAAUAUGUAAAUAAGAAAGUUGAUGGAUAAAUAAACGAAUAAAAGUAAAAGAAUAAUUAAUAAUUAAACAAUUAAAUGGAUAAAUAAAAAAGGUUAAAAAAACGCUUAAGUCAGCCUUACUCCCACAAUAUGAAGAUUCAACUAAAUUCCUCCACCAAAAUCCAAUUCAAAUGAAAGCAACUUAAAAAGAAAUGAAGAUGAACGAAAAACAAAAUAAGAACAAGCCAUAGAAAUAAGAACGCAAGAGAAGGAGAAAUUUGAGUGAAUGCUCUUAAGAAUUAUUAUUGCUCCAAACUCCAGCGUUUUACAAUGAAGGGAGAGGCCUCUAUUUAUAGUUGAGCCUCCCCAAAUCCAACGGUAUAGAUCAAUUACAUCAACGGCUAAGAUUAAAGGGUAUCUACAAAUUAAAUCUCUAAGAUUACAAAAUCUUAUCUUUUAAGAUUGCAUAUCUUAUCUAAGAUUGCAUAUCAUAUCUAAGAUUGCAUAUCCUUGAAGAUUAUGUUUCCAUAUGUGUCAAGCUUUUAGAUGGACCUUCAACCUUUUCAAGUAAUGGGUCAUUCUGAUCGGGCCAAAUGAUAUAAUUUUGGACUGGACUUGGACUUUGUUUUAUUAUUUUGGGUUUAUUAUUUUUUUGUGAGUCCGGGCUAAAUUGGCCUAUUACAGUUGCCCCUCUUUACUCAUUGUCGUGUAAUGAGAAUGAAGCAAAGACUAAAGAAGGCCAAUUUUGCCCGGUCGUAUUGGACUUUGGUACGCUUCUUCUUCAAGUAGCCUCUUCCUGGCCCACUGUAGCUUCGGAGGUAUAGGAAUUGGUGCUUCGAUCCACUCCACUGCAAUGUCGGGGAGAUAUGAUUUGUAACUCAUAACUUUUCAAGAGAACAAGAUUUGCUAUUUUUAGUCUGCUCCACUUCAACUUCAGGGAAAUAAGACUUGAUGCGAUCCGCUCUACUGCAACUUUAGAGAGAUAAGAUCCACUAUCUUUAGUCUGCCCCACUACAACUUCAGGGGAUAAGACUUGCUUUCUUCAAUUUUGACACUAGGGAGAUGAGAUUCGCUGCCCUCAGCCUUAAUUUGCUCCGCUACAACGCCAGGAAAACAAAAUUCGCUACCUUUAGUUUUAAUCUGUUUCACUGUAAUGCCAAAGAGAUAGGAUUUGCUGCUAUCAGCUUUAAUAUACUAUGACGCCAGGGAAAUAAGAUUCGCUGCCCUUAGCUUCAAUUUAUUCCACUGCAACGCCAAGGAAAUGAGAUUCGCUGCCCUCAACUUCAAUCUUUACCACUGCAACGCCAAGGAAACGAGAUUGGUGUCUUCGAUUUGCUUCGCUGGCAAUACAGGAAGGCAAGAUCUGCUAUCUUCAAUCUGCUCCGCUGUUAUCUUUAGUUUUACAAUGAAGGGAGAGACCUCUAUUUAUAGUUGAGCCUCCCCAAAUCCAACGAUAUAGAUCAAUUACAUCAACGGAUAAGAUUAAAGGGUAUCUACAAAUUAAAUCUCAAAGAUUACAAAAUCUUAUCUUCUAAGAUUGCAUAUCAUAUCUAAGAUUGCAUAUCCUUAAAGAUUAUGUUUCCAUAUGUGUCAAGCUUGUAGAUGGACCUUCAACCUUUUCAAGUAAUGGGUCAUUCCGAUCGGACCAAAUGAUAUAAUUUAGGACUGGACUUGGACUUUAUUUUAUUAUUUUAAAUUUAUUAUUUUUUUAUGAGUCCGGGCUAAAUUGGCCUAUUACAGUUGGUGUAGAUAAUUACAAAAGCAUUACAAUUAUGAGCUAAAGACGUGAGCUUUUAAAAGUAUAUCUCAUAUGAGUUGAUAAGACUUAUUCAAAUAUCUAAAUUUGUCGCCUUCUUUCCAUCUCCCUUAUCCAAUUAUAUUUAAUGGUUUUUCCAUUUUUAAUUCCUACCAUAACCUAGAACUAGUAAAUAUAACAUACAAAGUAAGUGGGUAAAAUCAUAAAUCGGCCACUUGUCCGUGGGGCUCCGCUGCAAGUAACGUAUCCCGGGAAAGCGACGAAAAUAAAGUGGAGGAUAAGUUAUACCGAAGCCGAUGCCAUGGGGGCCCUCCACAAUCUCGAACCCUCCUCCUUACUCACGACGUAAUUCGACACCUUUCUCCAACAAUCGUCUCUUUGAAUGGGCCCCAUUACACCGACCAUCGGGUCCCGCUAUCCACGUGUCACCAUUCCAGUGGUACCGUCCUCUCAUGAUAGUGCCACACUGAUUUUUUUAUUUCUUUUUCGCCUUUUGACUCUAUUUCCCACCAAUAAAGCAUAUCUGCACUCGCUUUCUUUAUUUGACACGUACGUCCUAGGGACAGGUGUCGAGUAGAAAAAGCGAGUUAGAUAGAAUCAAUUAGGGGUGCGAGAGUAGUGUUGUUUAGACAUAUUUCUCAAAGUUUAAUGCAGAGGUCGGUUAGAUUUUCCAUCCCAUUUAAAUUGCGUUAAUUUUUUUCUCUCUUUUCCCUAAACUGCGUCAGAUCCGUGUUUGAAACUACUAUAAAAUCCCAGUUCCUCUCGUUUCUUAAAAUCCAUCAAUCUGUGUAGCCAACUUUGUACGUACAAGUGAAGUGAUCCACAAUCUUGAUACAGUAAUACGUUAGGUAGCUUUCAUCAUACUUGUUUGAGUUUAUUGGUAGUAGAUAAAGAAAAAAUGGCUGAGGAGCAUACCAAGGUUGGUGGUGAGGAAGCAGUGGCGAGCAAGGAGCGAGGGAUGUUUGAUUUCUUGGGGAAGAAAGAAGAGGAGAAGCCUCAACCUCAAGAGGAGGUGGUCGCCACCCAGUUUGAGAAAGUCAAGAUAGAAGAGGAACAUAAGGAAGAUGAGAAGAAACACAGUCUCCUGGACAAGCUUCACCGAUCCAAUAGCAGCUCCAGCUCUGUAAUUACUUUUUUUACUUCCUUACUUACUAGUCAUAGUUCAAACAGUCAAAUCUUUUUCAUAUAUAUUAUAACAUGCGUUGUAUGAAUGUUCAGUCUAGUGACGAGGAAGAAGGUGAAGGUGAAGGCGGAGAGAAGAAGAAGAAGAAAAAGGAGAAGAAGGGAAAGAAAGAAGAGGACAGUGCAGUCCCAGUGGAGAAGUGCGAUGAGGCGGCAACAGUUCACCACUCAGAGACGCCGGAAAAGAAGGGUUUCAUGGAGAAGAUCAAAGACAAACUCCCAGGACAGCAUAAGAAAGAUGAAGAGGUCACCACCCCACCACCAGCUGCUGCUGCCCCAACUGAGAACGACCACCAUGAGGGAGAGACAAAAGAGAAGAAGGGAUUUUUGGAGAAAAUCAAGGAGAAAAUUCCUGGUUACCACUCCAAAACAGAGGACGAGAAGGAAAAAGAGACCACUGCUCCCCAUUAAUGAAUCAAUAUAAUGCAUUUCAAGUAAAAGAUGUCUAUGAGAUUGUGUGGUUUAUUAAUUUGUUGGAACUGUUUGUUCUCUGUAUUUCUUUUUGGGGUUGCAUACAUCAUAUAAAUUUCUGCGUCUGUUUUCAUGAUUGUAAGUAAAAAAUAAAAGGGUAUGUAUAUUUAAUGUUUUUAAUGUUAUUAUAAUAAUUAAGAAAUGAUGGUACUAUUUCCUUUUUAUCAAUUAGGUUUGUGCACUGUAAAAGUUAAAUGCAAGUUUUAACAAACAUAAAUUAUUUAAAUAUACAUUUAGUUUUUGGUAGGUGUUUGAAUUAGGUUGUUAUGUUUGAACAAAAUGGCAUGUAUUGAUUGUUUCUUCAAUUCCGUGACAUUGCCAGAGAACUCUAACUAAAGCCAUACUCUUAUUUCUUUACUCUUUAACUUCCCGAGCUAAAAUUUUGAUCGAUUCUUCACUGUACGACAUAUCUGGUUGAAUCUCAACAUCUACAGGUAAAAUUACGUGUGAAGGGUCUGAUCUAUACAGUCGUAACACCAAUACAUAAAACACAUUAUGAAUUUUCUCUAACUUUGAUGGUAAAGCCAACCGAUAAGCCACUGAUCCAAUCCUCUCAAUGAUUUCAUACGGCCCGAUGAAUCGAGGACUAAGCUUCCCUUUUCGGCCAAAAAGGAGAACUUUUCUCUAAGGUGAUACUUUUAGGAAUACUCUGUCUACGACUUUAAAUUCUAUAUCUUUUCUUUUUAAAUUUAUGUAAGAUUUCUGACGAUCAGAAGCAACUUUCAAACUGUCAUGUAUUACUUUGGCCUUUUCUUCGGUUUCUCGAAUCAAAUCAAGACCGAAUAAGUUUUUUUUUUGUUUAGCUUAGUCUAAUAUAACAGAGUUCAACAUUUUUUACCGUAUAAAGCUUCAUACAACGCAAUUUUUAUGCUUGUCUGAUAACUGUUAUUAUACGCAAAUUCUACCAAUGAAAGAAAAUUCUCCCAAUUACCUUCGAACUCUAAAACACAAUAUCAAAGCAUAUCUUCGAGUAUCUGAAUUACUCGCUCAAACUGAACAUUGGUCUGUGGAUGAAACGCUGUAUUGAAAUGUAGUCAUUUACCCAAAGCUUCGUGUAAUUUACUCCAGAACCGAAAAGUAAACCGUAGAUCCCUAUUAGAUAUAAUUGAAACUAGCACACUGUGCAGUCUAAAAAUCUCAGAAACAUACAACCCUGCCAAUUUCUCAAGUGAGUAAUCUAUACGUACUUGAAUGAAAUGCGCAGGUUUAGUCAAUUGAUCCACAAUAACCCACAAAACAUCUUUCUUUCUCAGAGAUAGAGGCAAUCCCGAUACAAAAUCCAUUGUAACCCGUUCCCAUUUUCAUUCUGGAAUCAUCACAGGCUGUAAUAAACCAAAGGGCACCUGAUGUUUGACUUUAACUUGCUUACAGAUCAAACAUUUUGAUACAAAUUCUGAAAUUUCUUGUUUCAUACCUGGCCACCAGUACAUCUAUUUCAAAUCAUUGUACAUUUUAUUGCUGCUAGGAUGUAUCGAUAAGCUACUGCUAUGAGCAUCCUGUAAGACAAACUACUGUCUGAAUUAACAUGAAAGUCUGAACCAAGUGUCGACUCAAUCUAUUCCCAUUUUGCGAUCAAUCCAGCAUCACUUUUCUGAAUCUCAUAAAUUUGUUGCAAAAAUGUCAGUCUAGCUUUUAAUUCAGCUAAUAUAGAACCAUCAUCAAUCAAGGUCAACCAUGUGUUCAAAGCUUGCAAAGUAAACAAAUAUUUUAUACUUAGAGCAUCGGCAAUGACAUUAGCUUUUCUCGGGUGAUGGUCAAUGAUCAAAUCACAAUCUUUCAACAAUUCAAGCCAUCUACAUUGCUUCAAAUUCAGAUCUUUCUAUGACAUCAAAUACUUCAAGCUUUUACGAUCCAUGAAGAUAUGACAUUUUUCUCCGUACAAAUGGUGUCGCCAAAUCUUUAAAGCAAACACAAUAGAUGUAAGCUCUAAAUCAUGAGUCAGGUAAUUGUUCUCGUGUAGUUUCAACUGUCGAGACGCAUAAGCUACCAGUUUGCUUUCUUGCAUCAAAAUACAACCUAAACCAUUCAAUGAAGCAUUCCUAUAAAUCAUGAAUUCCUUAACAGACUCUAGAUGAACCAACACAGGGGCUUUGAUCAACAACGCUUUCAAUUGAUCAAAGCUUUGCGGCCACUUUUCUGACCAUUCAAAUUUGACAUCUUUCUGAAGCAGUUUUGUCAACGGCGUAGCAAUCAUCGAAAAUUCUUUAACAAAUCUCCAAUAAUAUUCGAUUAAACCCAGAAAAAAUCUAACUUCUGAAACAUUUCUUGGAGGUUUCCAGUAAACUAUGGCUGACAUUUUACUCGGGUCGACCUUAAUAACGUAUAUCGAAACAACGUGUCCCAAAAAUCUAACUUCUCGGAGUCAGAACUCACAUUUUAUAAACUUAGUAAAUAACUAUUUUUCAAGAAAAGUCUACAAAACUAUUCUGAAAAGCUGGGCAUACUCUGUUUCAUCUCGUGAAUAGAUUAGAAUGUCAUCAAUAAACACAACAAAAAAUCUGUCUAAAUACGACCUGAAUAUUCUAUUAAUCAAAUCCAUAAACACAACAGGUGCAUUGGUCAAACCAAAUGGCAUAACAAGAAAUUCAUAAUGUCCAUACCUGGUUUUGAAAGUAGUCUUCGAUACAUCCAAGUCUUUAACUCGUAACUGAUAAUAUCCAAAACGGAGAUUGAUCUUUGAAAACAUUGUCGCGCCUUUCAACUGAUCAAAAAAAUAUCAAUACGUGGCAAAGGAUAUUUUUUAUUGAUCGUAACUUUAUUGAGUUAUCGAUAGUCGAUACAUAACUGUAGUGACCCGUCCUUUUUCUUAACAAGAACACCCCAAUGAGAACAACUAGGCCAAACAAAACCCUUAUCUGUCAACUCUUGCAACUGUGUUUUUAACUAUUUCAACUCUGUAGGUGUCAUUCUAUACGGAGAUAUCAAUAUCAAAAAUGUCCCCGGCAUUAACUCAAUAGCAAACUCAACCUCUUUAAUUGACGGUAACAAUGGUAACCCUUCUGGAACACAUUUGUGAAUUCACAAAUAUUCAGAACUGACCCUAAUUUCAAUUUUGAAACCUUGGAAACAAAUAUGUAAGCCAGAUACGCCUCACAGCCCUUUCUAACAUAUUUCUGUGCCAUCAUAGCUGAGAUAACAUUAGAUGCACCAUCCAACCUAUCUAAUUCAACUCAGAUCCUUUCACCGUUCUGACAUUUCAACACAAUAUGCUUUCAUCUAUAGUUCACAAAAGUAUCAUGCAGAGUUAACCAGUCCAUACCCAAAAUCACAUCAAACUCAUCAAAUGGCAACAACAUCAAAUCAGCCGAAAAGUUGCAAUCCCGAAUCAUCAAAUGACAGUUUUUACAGGCUUUAUCAACAAACACAUACUAACCUAAAUGGUUCGUUACUUUAACCACAAAUUCAGUAGACUAAAAAGGUAUUUUCUUAUCUGACACUAAAGUUUUGUAUACAUAUGAGGGCGUUGACCCCGGGUCAAUCAAAUCAUUAACAUUAGUAUCAAAGAUAAAAAAUGUACCAGUGAUCAUAUCAAGUACUGAAGCUUCCUUUCGAGCACGAAUCGCAUAAGCCCUAGCUGGUGCCCGUGCCUCAUAUCUAAUAGUAGAAUCUUUUGUUCCACCUUGACUGUUACCCGCAUUACCACUAUUUUUUGGCAAUCUCCCUUUCACGGCUGUAUUAUUCGAACGAGUGUUCUAAACUUUCUUUUUAUCUGAUCUUUCAAGGCAGUCUCUUAGAAAAUUAUCAUAGGAACCGCAUUUGAAACACGACCCGUCUUUCAAUCUGCACUUCUCAAAAUGUCGCCUAUUGCAUUGUUGACAUUCAGGUUUGUUGUUUCGAACACUACCCACUCACUACAGAUGUAGCCUAAGGUCUUGAACUUGAAUGUUGCUUCGCUUUAUCUCUCCUUGGUAAACCUAUUGAAGUUGAUGAACAGAAGUGAAAUUCCUUUAAUUUCUUCGAUGGAUAUGAUAAUGACUUUUUCAUAAGUCGUUUUCCCAUAUCACGAGCUUCAGAAUAUGUUUUUCUUUUGGCUUUACUAAGUUCUUCGGCCUUAUAUGAUCUAUCAACCAGAAUCAUGAAUUAUUUCAAUUCUAGAAUUCUAACUAACAAUUUGAUGUUUUCAUUUAAAUCGUCUUCAAACCAAGUACAUAUAACAGCCUCUGAUGGUAUACACUCCCGAGUAUAUUUACUAAGUCACAUAGUUCAGUUUGAGUCAGGAACUAUCACACUAUCACAGGUUAUAUAAAAACAUGUAUUUUUAGACUCCAUACAUGCUACGUUCAGUCCAAGAACUGACUAAAUCAUACUCUGAUACCACUAAAUGUAACACUCUUAACCCGUCUUCGUUGCCAGAUUAGAGUUACAGAGCAUUACUGUUCAAUAAGAAAUAUUUAAAAAUCAUAAAAUUUAAUAAUUUAAAUAUAUCCUAAACCAUUCAUUCUCAUACAUUUCGUCCCUAAAUCAAGCCUUCGGGGCCCUAGAAAUAGCUUAGAGGCAAUUUGGGACUAAUUUGAAACAAAACAAAAAGUUAAGGAACAAGUGGCAAAAAUUAGAAACAAGGGUCACAUGGCCGUGUGACAUAGCCUCAGGUCGUGUAACUUUUGAACAAAGGACACACGAUCGUGUCUCAGCCCGUGUCCUUACCCGUGUUACUCAUUGAGUAGGGUCACACGGUUAUUUUACACCCUCGUAUACCAGGUCGUAUAACUCUCGGAGUUGCUCCACACGCCCAAGUACCAGGCCGUGUGCUAGGCCGUGUAACUCACUGACUUGAACACUAAAUAGCUCACAAAUGACACACGACCCUGUCGCCAAGCCGUGUAUCUCACACGACCGUCUGACAGCCCAUGUCUUAGGCUGUGUGGACCCAAACUUUUACCUAAAAAUAAGUCGUUUCUUAACCAAUCCAUGCAUAACUAACAAAUCCAUUUAUGUACACUUUCAAGGGACUAAAGCAUCAUUCAAAUACACAUAAUCAUGCCAAUUCAAACAACCUAAUUCAUCUAACCAAUAUGCCAUUCAAAGGCAUCACAAUUGCAUCCAAACAUCAUUUACAUAAACAUGUCAAUAUAACCUUAUUUCAAGCAUAAAAACCUAGUUUAAACAUCUACCAAAUCAUGUCUCAAUUGACCGCUGUCAAGCCGUUAUAAACAUACCAAAAAAGAGCCUUAUUUACAAGCAUUAGCAAGCGACCAAAAAUAACAAAGUUUCGUAAGCAUUAAAGUGCACCAAUCAAACAUAAUAUUCAAAACAUAAACAUAUCAUAGCACCAUUACACAACAUCCUAUACAUGAUUAACCUUGGCCAAAAUUCUAAAAAACUACCGAAUUGACUACUGGAUAGUGUGAUAGAUCUCUAACAAAGUUCCAAACCGGUCGAGCUUCCGAUAAUCUAUAAAACAAAGGAAAGAAACUACGUAAGCAACAAAUGCUUAGUAAGCUUGUAUAAACCUUAACAUAACUUACCAUUUUUAUAUUACAAUUCAUAGCAUAAGUAUAAACCAAAACUAAUGCCAUAAGCUUAGUAUGAGCUUAUACAACAUCAUCAAACUCACAAGUUAGUAUACUUGUUCAUAAUAUAUAUGAAAUCAACCGUAAGAUAUGAAGUUUACCAUGUAUAAACGUAACAUUUUUACAUCAUCAAUAUUACCAUAAUAUCAUGAUUCAUUUCAUUUACAUACUUAAGAUUUCCUUUUCCUUUUCUUACCCGUUGAACCAUCUAGAAUUACAUUGGAUACUCGAGAAAGCUUACACAUAGUGUACCUUUACAUAUAACCGUAACAUUUUCUUUACAUCAAUGCUCACACGAGUUGUAAAAUGGGUCUGCUCACACGAGUUGUGGUCAUAAUGAACAUUCAAUUUAACUAGCAUAAAAGUGGUUACAGUUCAUACGAACUUACCUAGAUAACUAGAGUAGUAGUGUAAACUAGUCCGAAGCUUUAGCCUUUCCUCGAUCUAAGUCCGAACAUGAUUUAUCUCGACCUAAAUAGAUAAUUUCAAUCAAUUAAGUACUUUUAGAAUUCAAUUUAAUCCAGAGUUCAUAUUAUGCAAAAUUACCAAUAUGCCCCUAAAAUUUUAACUUUUCCUAAUUUAGUCCUUAAGCUUAUAACUUAAAAUCUAACCAUUUUAACCUAAAUCCAUAUUAACCAUAGAUACAAAGGACUUUGAAACAACCCAUAUUUACCAUCGUUUCACAAAAAAAUCCUAGCAUUUAUACCUUUAACAAUUUAAUCCCUGCUUCUAAAAUUCAUCAAAAAUCACUUAUCAAAACUUAUUUAUUUUUCAACAAGGAUUUGUAAUCUAUCAAUUAACAUCAAAACCUAACCAAAAAAAUUCAUGGAAAGUCUCUCAACCUUUAAAAAUUUUGCAAAUUAACUCUCGAGCUAGCUAAAUUAAGCUAAAACAGAUCAAAAACAUAAAAUCAUUAAAAACGGGGAUUGAAUACACUUACAUGCAAGAAAAUAAGCUUGACUGAACUAACUAUCUUCUCUAAUGGUAGAAAUGGCUAGGUCUUGAAUACAAUGAAAAACAUGAUAGUUUUCUCAUCCUUUAGUUAAUUAACAUUUUAACUAAUUUAUAAAAUUACUUAAUUAACCUUUUAAAACCACUUAAAAUUUCAUUAAAAGCUAUCCAUAAACAUAUACUACCAACAUAUAUGGUAUAAUUACCAUUCAAAUCCAUUAACUUCCCUUUCCAAAGCCAUUUAGCCCUUUUAACUAAUAGAACUCAAUUUCUAAACUUUUUACGAUUUAGUCCUUUUCACUUAAUUAACCAUUUAAACAUUAAAAUUUCUUAACAAAAUUUUAAUAACGCUUAACAAAAUUUUAAUACAACCUUAUUAUAAUUUUGUAAAAAUUUAAUAAAUAAUAAAAUAAUAAUUUACACGUCAAAAUUGUGGUCUCGAAACCACUAUUUUUGAUAUCACUAAAAACGGGCUGUUACACUAGCAAUCUGUUUCCCAGGUAAUCACUGCAAAUGCCCUUAUAAAUUUCUCUCAUGAUAUACUCAACUUCUGAGGGAGUAAGACAAUGCAGUAAUAGGUGCGAAAACUCUUUUCUAUAUAACACACCCUCUAUGAGGGUGUAUCUGUCAAAAGGCGAACAAAACAUGUUGUUCCAAUUUAGUAUGUAAUAAGUUCGUAAUGGGCGGAUAUGUAAUUUUCAUGCAAGGAUUUCAACAAGUAUUCAUAAUUCGUAUCGAUGAUGUACCUUGCCACCUUGUAUUGUUAUUUUACGAGCUCUUUUCGAUCUUGGCUUUCCUAUUUACGUUGUAGCGUGUGGAUUAUAGGGGUCAUCCAUGUUUCUUAUUGGGUCAUCAAUAACACUUGGGGGUCACCAUAGCUCAGCACUUCCUUGUGUUUGAGUAGGAUUUUUCCUCUCUGCUCAAUGGUGAUGGAGGAUGCUAACUUUGAAAGAGCAUCUGCACGCACGUUGUCAUUCCUUGGGAGCUACCUAACCUUGGCUUCUUUGAACCCUGCCAGUAAUUGGAUUACCAUCAUGUGAUACCAUUUUAGUGUUGCUUCUUUCACCUCGUACUCACCAUGUAUUUACUUCACCACGAACUGGGAGUCAGUGUGUAUAGUCAAGUUCCUGGCAUCGAACUAGUGCGCUAAUUAUAGUCUAGAUAUCAAUUCUUCGUACUCAGUGUUGUUGUUCAAUGUUUGGAAUCCAAAUGAAAAUCCAUAUUGCCACUCGUUUCCCUCUGGGUUUAUCACGAGUGUGCCUACCCCCGAUUCUAUUUUGGCUGCAGAGCCAUCGACAUAAAGCAUCCAACCCUUCAUUCUAUCUAUUGUGCACAAAUCUCUAGGGGUGUGUUUACUAUUGGGAGUGUCCAACAAUAAAAAGUAACUUUAGUACAAAAUGAAAAGUGAGUAUCUAUUUUCCGUAAAAUAUGAGAAUCAUUAGAGUGGUACUGUUCAUCAUAAAAUAUGUCAUCAUUAAAUUGUUAAAUUUCAUUAAUGUUUGCAUAUUACAUUAUCUCUGCAAGAUAUUUCACUAUUUGAUGCAUCAAAAUAAAAUUUAUGUUACCUGUUAUGUCUUCACUUUUUUCGAAUGAGCAUUCUACUAUGAAAUCUACCAACACCUGCCAUUUUAUUACCAUUCGUGGGAUGAAAUCUAUCUCGAACUCUGUGAGUUCGAUGCUCUAUUUUUUUAUCCUCCCUAGGGUGUCUGCCUUGGCAAGAACCUGUUUCAUUGGCUGGUUGGUGACUACAACAAUUGGGUGGGGCUGGAAGUAUAGUCGUUGCUUGCGAGCUGUAAUGAUUAGGGGAUAGAUACAUUUUUUUUUUAUUUUUGUGUAUCUAAGCUUGUCAUGUUGAAGCACCUUUCUGACAUAACACAUCAAAAAUUGAAGGCUGCCUUUAGACUUGACUGAGACGAUUGUGAUUGUCUUUUCUGAGUCUCCUAAGUACAGGUAGUGUUUCUCCCGUUUGAGGUGACUUUAACAGUGGAGGGAAGUAAGGUAUUGUUUCAGUUGUUUAAAAGCGGUUUGCCAUUCUUUGGUCUACAAAAAGGGUUUCUUAAGAACUUUGAAAAAUGGGAGGCACUUGUUUGGCAUUAUGGAAAUAAACCUGUUAAGCGCCACCACCUUGCCCAUGAGGUGCUAGAUUUCUUUUAUAGUUUACAAGAUGGGGCAUCUCUGUAAUGGCCUAAAUUUUUUUCAAACUCGCCUCUAUUCCUCUUUUUGAGAUUAUGAAACCCAAGAAUUUACCAGCUCGCACAUCGAAGGCACAUUUCUCUGGAUUAAGUGUCAUGUUGUGGGCCUUCAAUGUCGCGUAUGCAUCGGAGAGGCUCCGCACAUAUUUCUAUAUGGAUUCACUUUUUACAAGGAUGUCAUUUACGUACACCUCCAAGUCGUGACCUAUCUGUUCCUUGAAUAUCCUAUUUACCAACAUUCGGUAAGUUGCACCCUUGUUUUUUAGUCUAAAUGGCAUGACCCGAUAAUAGAAGAGACCCUCUUCGGUGAUGAAAUGUGUUUUUUCUUGGUCAUCACGAUCCAGUAAAUUUUGAUUGUAGCCCAAAAAAGUGUCUAUGAAUCUCAUAAAAUUGUGCCUAACAGAUGUGUCAACCAAGCGAUCUAUCGACGGUAGGGGGAAGCGAUCCUUGGGGCAUGCCUUGUUAGGUUACUGAAGUCGAUACAUAUUCUCCACUUUCCUGUUGACAUUUUUACCAUUACUAUAUUCGAGAUCCAGCUCGAAUACUCCACCUCCCUCAUAAAUGCAGCGACCAACAACUUGAAGACCACCUGCCUUACUACCUCUAUUACCUAUGGUAAAAAUUUUCUCUUUUUCUACUUUACGGGAUUUGCUUCUGGGAGCACAUUCAACCUAUGCACUAUUACCUAUGGAUCCACGCUUGGCAUAUUCGUUGCAAACCAUGCGAAGACGUCUGAAUUCCCCUUCAAGCAUUUGAUCAGUAUCAUCUUUUUUUCCUUAUUUAGUGCAAACAAGAUCUUAACUAUUUUUUCUUUAUUAUCGCAGAAUAGUUGCAGGGUCUCAAUGUACUUCGCUGCCUGGGGUGUUUUUAUCCUUAUGUUCUUUUUGGACAUCCAGAUCAUUUAAGAUGAUAGCUUGGCUUGGUGAACUCUGCUUCUCGGUCAAAGGCUGUCUUACCUACCUAAUGGACAUGUGACAUUGUCUCACCAUGCACUGGUCAGAUUGUAAAAAGCCGACGUCAGUACUUGUCGAGAAUUUGAUCUUCAUACAAAAGUUUGUCAUCACCAUUUUUGCCAUUCUCAUGAUUGGUCUUUUAAAAAUGGCAUUAUAUGCCAUCGGGUGGUCGACCACAUAGAAUUAGACGCACUUUGUGAUCAUAUGUUUGCCGUAACCUAAGGUGAACAGCAAUAUGAUAGCGCCUUUUACCUUGACAUGGUGGUUUGUUAAGCCGGAUAGGGGGCUGGCCGCAGACAAUGACUGUUCUUUUAAACCUAUUUUUUUAUAUACUUCCCAAGAUAAGACUUCCACUGCGCUACCACUAUUGACAAGUAUCAUUUUAACUUUAAAGCCUACGAUCAUAGUCGAAACCACCAUUGGGUCGUUUCUUUCCUCGUCACAGAUUAGCUUAUCGUCAUCGCUUCCAAACUCUACAUUCUAUUUUUCCUAAUGUUGGGGCCUCUUCGGGGAACUGAGUGACAUCACACCCCUCAUGUGUGCUCACCAUUUUACGUUUGACUAUAUCCAUUCGUUGUUAGUGCCUACGAUUACAUGAAUAGUGCCUUGCACCGUUUACUUACACGAGAUUUGGCCUUGCCAUGGACCUCUUUAAUUUAUGAACUCAACAAGUUCGUAAUUUCAAACCGCUUCUUCUAUGACGUCCUUUAGCGUGAAAUAAUCUUCGAUUUUAUGCCUUGUGUCAUCAUGCAAGGCACACUGGUCCCUAAAAUUUUUCCUUCUACCAGUACUUUGCAUUGGGGUGGUUUCGAAAGGAUGCCCAGACUCUUUACUUGGUUUCCUUCUACCAGUACUUUGCAUUGGGGUGGUUUCGAAAGGAUGCCCAGACUCUUUACUUGGUUGAAGAUUUAAGCUCACGUAGCAUUCAACAGGGUGUAAGCCUCAAACCUGCCCUGAGGGUAAUGCCUCAUGUGUUCUUGCUGGAGCCUCUGCGAUUUUCUAAGUGUGUCGCCUUGAGCUAAAGUUCUGUGUAGCCUGUCGAUCCUGACCCAUAGGGACUGGUUGAUGGGAGAUUUCCAAGUGUGUUGUCCCUCACUACUUUUGGUUUGUCUGUCCUCCCUUUAGAAAUUGGCCCACGACGCUCUCUUAAUUUCUUCUGCCUUUACGAACUUAUGGCCCGCUCGUACAGGUCAGCUAGGCUCUGUGGUUUUUUGUCUGUGAUCAAGUAUUGUACGAGGUUGUUUUGCAGUCCCAUAAUGAAUGCAUCUAUCGUCCACUGAUCUUUUAAGUUUUUUUGUGUUAAAUGUAGCCAUAUAGAACCUCUUUACGUAGUCUUAAAGGGACUCACCCUCCCGUUGCUUUAUUGGCAUUAUCCUCAUGGGUGUGUUCAUGGUAGCUCGAUGAGCUCUGAACAUUUCCAAGAACAUUUUCCCAAUUGCGAAAAGUUGUAAACUGAGCCUUGUAUGAGGGAAAGAUACCAGUCAUUGGCACUUGCUUUUAGCGUUGUAGAAAAGGUCUUACAUUUAGCUGCAUCUAAUGACCUCAACGUAUUUAUAUAGUCAUUAUACUGCAUCAGAUGGUCUCGUGGGUCCCUUAUUCCUUCAAACAUAUCCUUAAGUACCUUGAAAUCACGGGGCAAUCCCACUACCAUAAUUUCGAAGGCCAGUGUGUUGUUGGAGCAGAAUAAUCAAUCCAUGUCCCGUGGCUCACGGUGUAAGGCUCACACUUCGUGACGAACCUCAUUCAUCUCGUUCAGCCACUCCUUCACGUAGGUACUCGGAGCUUCAUCUUGGGUGUUGGCGUUUCCUUGGGACCCCGAUUUGUCAACAAGUACAUUUCUGCGCAGUUUCUCAUUCUGCCUUAGUAACUCCUACUAGAAGGCUUGCUAUUCCACAAACCAUGUUUCUUAUGCACCCAUCUGAUCUCUCGUGAACUUCAUCUACUCCUAGAGGGCCAGAACUGCGGAGGGGUGGUUCUUGGCCUGAGGAGAGAUUAAGGUUCAAUGAAAGGGAUGGCCCUAAAAAAGCUGCAUUGUCAAGGUUUUCAGGUCUGUCAACGAACCAAGUGGCAAAAAAAUCUACCUCUUCAUGUCGGAGGUUAGAACCUGAUGCUCUUGCUUGAUCGGGGGAGGGAACAAAAGGAAAAGUCUCGUUUGGGUGAGUCAUUUGUUUUUGUUUAGCUGAAGAAAACUGAAUCAAAUUGAAGAAAAUUUACCAGUCAGAAGUAGUCCACGCUCAUCGCACCGAUUGUUAGUGAUAUUUUUCUCGUAUCGUAUUAAAGAAAACGUAAAGGGCAUUUGUACAUGUUCCUACUGCUACUAUUAUAGCUCAAAAUAGGGCCUACUAUUUUGUCUCGGUCUUUGGGCCAAUGGUACGGACAUUCUCUGUCCUUGGUGCUGACAUUCCCUGGGAAUCCCUUGGCUUAUUGGACGCGUGUCUGCGGAGCACGUAGUUUUUUUUAUCCUAGGACUGACUCCUCCAACGAGCCUCGUACCUGCUAGUCACGAACGGGGAUCCUUUGUAGAGUUCAUGAUCCCUUCUACGGACAUAGCUCGCGACCUCAUUCUUACUAGGCUUACGCAAGCUCUCCUCGUAAGCUUCCCGUGCUAGCUAUCUUUGCUAACAUCUAACAUUCCAGCAAGGUCCCAGCGAACUAUGCCAGUACAUGAACAUUCUUCUUCCAAGUCGGGUCUAUUCGGGUUGGAGAUCCGAAUCUUAUUGGGUCAUUUGGGCUAGUGGUUCCCAAAUCCUAACAAAACUAAAUUUUGUUUUUUUUUCACCUUUGUUGAACACUUUCAAUCACAUAAACAAUUAAUGUUGUUUUGCCCAGAAAUUGCUUUUCAAAUUUUAUUUUGAUUCAUAUUUUCUCAAAACCAUAAAAGCUCUAACAAAUACAUCUCAAUGCCAGACUCAAAUUUCACUAUUAGACUUAUUGUUGCUACUCGAGUUUCUAUGAAACAAAAUCUAGGCUUGCACCACAACUUUCAUUCUUGAGAAUCAUAAAAACUUCUACAAUCAAUGGUCUAUCUAUAGAUUUUCCCGAUAAUUAUGAAAAAAAAAGAAGAGGGAAAGAGAGAAAAGCAAAAUGUUUUAUUAUGUUGUCUGGACUUUUGUUAAGUUUUAAUAUUUUGAAAUUUUAAUUUUUUACAAAGUACAGUUUUUCUUUUCUAAACCCAUCAUUUUUUUUGUUAUAACUCUAGUCAGGGCUAGUUCUCCAUUGUUAUUAUAGUUAAAAAGUACUUUUGAAAAGUGUUAUUGAAAAAAAGUACCAUGAAAAAGUGUGACUUAUUAAUUUAAAGUGCUCACCAUUGCUGUCAAAAAGUGCUAUGAAAAUUUAAAAUGUUGAAUUCUUUAUUAAACUGAAAUUUCAUUAUCAAUUUUUGUAACAACUCGUUUUUAGUGGUGUCAGAAACAGUGGUUUCGGGACCACAAUUCAGAUGAGAGAGUUAUUUUUUUAUUUUUUUUAUUGUUUUUGGAUUAUAUUAAGGUCAUAUUAAAAUUUCAUUAAGAAAUUUUGAUGUUUAAAUGGUUAAUUAGGUAAAAGGAUUAAAUUGUAAUAGGUAUAAAAGUUGAGUUCUAUUAAUUAAAAGGGCUAAAUGGCUAUGGAAAGGAAAGCUAAUGGAAUUAUAUGGCAAUUAUACCAUGUUUUAAGAUAGUGGAUUAUGAUGGGUAGGUUUUAUGGUAGUUUAAAUGAUUUAAUAAGGUUAAUAAGGUAAUUUAAUAAUUAAAUGAAAAACUAAAUAAAGAAAAGAUGAAACAAGUAUCAUCUUUCUCAUUCUUUCAUUCUAAAACCUAGAAACACCAUUAAAAAAGCUUGAAGCAUUCGAAUAGCAUUGUUCUUGUGCAUGGCAUGCAUAAUUGUCUCGUUUUUAAUGAUUUUUAUGUUUUUGAGAUCGUUUUAGCUUAAUCUAGCUAACCCGAGGGUUAAUUUGCAAAAUUGUUAAAGGUUGAGGGAUUUACCGUGAAUGCUUGUGAAUUAUUUUUUAUGUUAAUUGAUAGAUUAUGAAUCUUUGUUGAAAAAUAAACAUGUUUUGUUAAGUGAUUUUUGGUGAAAUUACAUUUAGGGAUUAAAUUGUUAAAAGUAUAAAUCCAUGGGUUUUAUUGUGAAAUGUUGGUAAAUGUGAGUUGCUCCAAGGUUCAUUUUGUCUAUGUUUAACAUGGAUUUAGGUUAAAAUGAUUAGAUUUUAAGUUGUGAGCUUAAGGACUAAAUUGUGAAAAAUUAAAAUAUUAGGGGUAAAUUGGUAAUUUUACAUAAAUAUAAACUAUGGAUUAAAUUGAAUUCUAGAAGUACUUAAUUGAUUGAAAUUAUCUAUUUAGAUCAAGAUAAACCAUGUUCGGACUUAAAUUGAGAAAAAGCAAAAGCUUCAGAUUAGUUCGACUAUAUUACUACACCCUGAUUAUCGAGGUAAGUUCGUAUGAAAUGUAAUCAUUUUAAUGUUAUCUAAAUUAAAUGUUUAUUAUUUCGUUUUAAUGUAAAUGAAUCAAUAUACAAAUGUAUCAAUGCUAUGAUGAAUUGACGGAUAUCGAGUCCUGGUUGAACCUUAAGAAUUCUUAGGAUACAAAUGACAUGUCAUUAGGGAUUUCAUGUUUCGGGUGCUGGCCUUGAAUGUCCUAUCGAUGUCCGAGGUCCUGCAUUUGUUGUGGAUUCUCCACAGCUCGUGUGAGCAACAUCGUGUAGCUUACAUUCCAACCCACAACUCGUGUGAGCAGACCCAUUUCACAGCUCGUGUGAGCAUUGAUGUAAAGGAAAUGUUACAGUUAUAUGUAGAGACAUACUUUGUGUGAGCUUUCUCGAGUAUCUGAUGUAAUUCUAGAUGGUCCAAUGGGUAAGAAAAGGGAACGAAAUGGUAAGUAUGCAAAUGGAUUGAAUCAUGACUUUAUAAAAGGAAUUAUGAACUAAAUGAUGUUAGUACAUAUGGAAAAAUUUACAUAUUUUAUGAUUGAUUUCAUUUGUAUCAUGGACAAGUAUACUAACUUGUGAGUUGGUGAUGUUGUUUAGGCUUUUAAUAAGCUUAUGGAAUUGGUGAUGAACUAUGUUUAAUCUUUGAAUUGCAUAAAUAACAUGUUAAGUUAUGUUUUAUUUUAUACGAGCUUACUAAGUACUCAUUGCUUAUGUAUUUUUUUCCUUUGUUUAAUAGUUUAUCAGAAGCUUGAUCGGUUUGGAAGCUCGUCGGAGACCUAUCACACUAUCCAGCAAACAAUUCGAUAGUUUUUGAGUAUUUUGGCCAAGGUUUAUAAUGGCAUGUAUAGGAUGUUUUGUAAUCAUGAUUUGGUGUGUUUAUGCUUUGAAUGUUAUGUUUGGUUUGGUUCACUUUAAUGCCUUACCAAGUUAUGUCAUUUUGGUCACUUUCAAAUGAUUGUAUAUAAGGUUCUUUUGGUAUGUUUGAAAUGCCUUGAUAAUGGUCAUUUGUGAUAUGAUUUGGUAGGUAUUUGAACUAGAUUUUAUGGAUGAAAUAAAGUAAUGUUGGCAUGUUUAGGUUAUCGAUGUUUGAAUUCAAUUGUGGUGCCUUUGAAUAACAUAUUGGUUAGGGGAAUUAAGUUGUUUGAAAUGGCAUGAUUAUGUGUUUUUGAAUGAUGCUUUAGUCUCUUGAAAGUGUGCACAAAGGGGUUGGUUAGUUAUGCAUGAAUUGGGUAUGAAAUAUCUUGAUUAUAGGUAAAUUUUGGGUUCACAAGGUCUGGCGACACUGUCGUAUGUCAUCUGAGGAUUGUUUAGGGUUCAAGUCAGUGAGUUACACGACCAAACACAUGACUUGGCACACAGGUGUAUGUGGCAACUUAAAGAGUUACACGGCCUAACACAAGGGUGUGUAACAUAGUCGUGUGACCCUAGUUAGUGAGUUACACGAGUUAGGACACGGGUGUGUCCCUUGUUCGAAAGUUACAUGGCCUAGGGCUAUCUUACAUGGUUGUGUGACUUCUGUUUUCAAUUUUUUUCUACUUUUUCCUAAGCUUUUCGUUUUGUUUCAAAUUAGUCUCGAAUUGCCUCAAAGUUGUUUUUAGGGCCUCGAGAGCUCGAUUUAGGGACAAAAUGCAUGUGAUUGAAUGGAUUAUGAUAUGUUUAAUUUAUUUAAAUAUUAUGAUGUUUAAAUAUUUUCGGUUGUAUUGUAAUGCUCUGUAAUCCUAAACCGGUGAAGGAGAUUAAUUAAGGGUAUUACAAUUUUUAUACUAUGUUGUAACUCCAAUUAGUAACCUCGUUAAAAAAAAUUAGAUGAUUGGGUUUAUAUUUUUUUUUUCAAAUCAAAUCAAAAGGUUGAGUUGAUAUUUUUUUUGUGUUCGACAAAUUAGUAAAAUAUAAGUAUUUUAAUAAUCAUAAUUCGUUUUCUAUAAAAAAAAUCCAUAGUUGACUAAAAAAAAAUUUGUAAUGAACUAAAACAUUACUUUAAUAAAAAAAACACUUAAUUAUAUAAAAAAAAAUACUAUUUUCAACUUUCUUUUACAGAACAUGGGUGUCUGUACAUAUUUCUAAUCAUACAUUUUUUUUAAGAAAAUUACAUUGAAGGUGAUUUAAUUAUGCUUAGGUGGUGUUAAGUGUUUGAUAAAAAAUAGGUUAUAGUUUAAAAAUUGAUAUAAUCAUAAAUUUAAUUUUUAAUUUUUAUAUAUUAUGUUAAUUUAGUUAUAACUUUAAAAAAAUUAACUCUAAUAUUUAUAUAUUAUUUUAAUUUUACUCAUAAUUUUAUUAAAAAAUCAAAAUAUAUAAAAAUAGGAUGAAUUAUCCAAAAAUACUUAUUUUUAACCAUAAUUAUCAGAUUAUGCUAAUUUUGAGAAAACAUGUUCAGCUGGAUGCAUUUUCAGUGAAUAUGGCAGGAAAAUGCUUCCAAUUUGAUGUGCUUUCAGCUUUGGCUAAAUGGUUAAAUGCUAGUGUUUUUAUCUUUGAAUUUCAUGUUCGAUUCUUUUCCUACUCAUAUUUAUAUUUUUUUAUUUUAUGUUGCUUUAAGCUUUUUAAAAUUUUAAUUAAUUUUGUUAUCAUAUUAGUUCUUUGGUUAGAUAGUUAGAUAAUUGUAAUUAUAUCCUUGAGUCUCAAGUUUGAUUUCUCUCCUACUUAUAUUUGUAUUUUUUUUAUUUCAUGUUACUUCAUCCUUUUUAAAUUUUUAAUUAAUGUUUUUUAACAUUUUAGUUUUUUCCUUAGAUGGUUAGAUGUAAUUACAUCUCAAGUUCGAUUCUUUUACUAAUCACAUUUGUAUUUUUUAUUUCAUGUUGCUUCAAGCAUUUUUUUAUUUUUAAUUAAUAUUUUUAGCAUGUUAGUUCAUUUCGUUAGAUAGUUAGAUAAUUGUGAUUACAUCCUUGAGUCUGAGGUUCAAUUAUUUUUAUAAGCAUAGUAAUGUAUUUUUAAUUUCAUAUUGUUUCAAACUUUUUUAUUUUUAAUUAUUUUUAUAAGCAUAUUAUUAUUAUUUUCAAUUAAUGAUAUUUACAAUAAUUAUUUAAUUUUAUAAAUAAAAUAAAUAUAUAUUUUCUGAAUUUACUCAUAAAUUUUAAAAAAUUCAAAACAUAUAAAAAUGUAUAAAUUUAAAAAAUAUACAGCCAUGAAAGGUUAGAUUUAAAAAUAUAGUACAACCAAAUCAAAGCAUCAACAACCACUAAAGAUACCACAAUAAAUGCAUAAAACAUGUUCGAACAAAACCAAAUGGCACCAACACAGACCAAAAAACAAUAAGGCCCGCAAAAUUACGUAAAGUUUAAUAUGAUUAAUAUAUUAUUUAAUGUCUAAGUUUUACUUGAUAAUAUUUUUUUAUUUGGUUUUUGUUGCAUAGUAACAAUAAUGUUAUUAUUCGAAAACUUAAAAAUUAUAUAAAAUAUAAUGUUUUUAAUUUCUUUUAUAAAAGUAAAAGAAAUUACGUCUCUCAAUGAAUUUUUUCCUUGAUUUUAUU
Molecule: long non-coding RNA, 61628 nt
Filed under: Gossypium barbadense (sea-island cotton)
Lineage: Eukaryota; Viridiplantae; Streptophyta; Magnoliopsida; Malvales; Malvaceae
Description: long non-coding RNA (GBAR_LNC013371)
Source: RNAcentral